RNAcentral lists this long non-coding RNA (54728 nucleotides) under Coffea arabica (coffee). Its description in RNAcentral is "long non-coding RNA (CARA_LNC007613)". Lineage: Eukaryota; Viridiplantae; Streptophyta; Magnoliopsida; Gentianales; Rubiaceae. The record is from RNAcentral.
CUUUCUUUUUUUUUUUUUUUUUUUUUUUUUGGUUGAAUUUAAGAAGCUAAGAGGGGAAGGGGGAUUUGAACCUAGAAUCUAUAAAUCCUUAGCCAAUAGAUUCAAAGCUACUAUAGGAACGACUAAAUAUGUACUACUUGCCAUUUGUUACGAAAAUUUGAUCCAACACAAUUAUUAAUCGAGAAUAAAAGAGAGAAAAAAAAAAGGAGAAGUGAACACCUUAUAUUUUUUUGGCUUGGCAUGUUGCUCUUCCAUUCAAUUACUACUUUUCAUUCCUAUAUUAUCUUUGAGAAAUAUGCCGUCAUCUUAAUCAAAGAAUCAAUUCUCUGUUUCAAUUUUCAAGAACUGGGACAGGGGAAAUGUAGUCAGUGGGAGAGACCGAGUGCAUUGGUUUGUUGGAAAACUAAAACAGAGUUUCUUUUUUUUGGGAUAAUUUCCCCAAGAUUAUCAGCACUAAGUCGCAUCGUUAACCACCAUGGAAGAUGGAACAUCAUCUCAUUAACUACAUUCAUGGUCAAGAAAAUAAUCUAUCCCUUCAUUAGUACCCACGGUAUCCAAGAGUCGAACAAAUUUUGUCCAUAAAUAGGUAACAGAUUGCUGCUGUGUGCAGCUAGUUUAUAAGAUCGAAAAGUUCUAAACAGAACAACAUAAUGGGUAGUUGUGAAAGCACAGAGAAUUCCGGGCAUGUUGGGAACUCUACCGAGACAAUGACCGAGGAAAAGGAAGAGAAAGCAAAGGAGAUAGUCAAGGCAGUGGCUGUAGCAGCAGGAGUAGGUCUUGUGGCAUGGGGCAUUUGUAAGAUCCUGGGAGCAGCGGAAACAUCCAGUAACAGGAAAAUGAUGAAAGCACCAGGAAGGGACUACUACAUUUUCAGGGAUGAGUUCGAGCGUGACCCUGCUAGCCAUUUUCGCAGUCUUCGCGAGUGAAUAGGGAAAAGACUAGAUUAAAGGUUACUCCUAGUAGUGAAUAAAAGUCUUCUGCUUUGGUUGUUCUGCUGGCUGGAAAUAGUAGCAAUUAAGGCCUAAUGAAAAAUGUUACAAUUAUCAACUUAAGUCAUAUUUGUUAUUGCCCCAAGAGGCAGCAUAUCAAUGGAUGGUAGAAGCCAAUCUUUGCAAUCUGAAUCUUCCCAUUCCCAUUUAUGGUACGAGGAAAGGAAUCCAUACAAACGGCUGACACUCCAUAAACAACAGAGGACAAAGCUCAAUAAUAUAAAUUUUAGAGUUGUAAGCACAAACGCAUUCCAAACAUGAAGUUCACCAAACAAUUACAAGCAAUUUAAAAGGGCAGAAAGAAAUUUAGGACAGACUUCAGAAUUUAACUUUGCCAGCAUGGAGAGCACGGAAGUAUCCUUUGGGGUUGGCCACAAAGACAUGCCUCGGAAUCCGAAAGUUUGCUCCAGGGGCUUUCAUCAUCUUCACUGCCUUGACUCCGCAACAGCAACGAAUGCAGCGGCUAAAGCACCAAUACAGCACAAGUAUGACCAAACCUGCAACAACAAAAGGUGCACCAACACGGAGCCAGUAUUGUAGCCUCUCCUUUCUAGUUUCUGGUGGGAAGGCAUCGUCCAACCUGCCAAUCAGAAACAGACCAAAGUUUUCCAGCAUCAUGAACAGUUGCUUCAGCUUCUCCACCAGAUUGUUCAUCAUUUCAUCUGCCCCCACUGCUUUCAACUUUGCCUGUGUGCUGUUCAUCAUGAUCGUGCUUCCUUCCCCAAUUCCUCUCAUUUUCUCCUGCAGAUUGCCGAUCAUAAUAUCAGUUCUAAGUCUCAUCUUUCCUUGCUUGAUUCUCAAGUGAAAAGAGCAAAAAUAAUAACAGACCUUUGAAGGGUGGAAGUGUUAUUAAAGGCGAUUGAGUGCUUUAGCUUUAAUUGCGUUGUCCAAUAAUUAAGGUAGUGGUAGCUGCCACAUUGUUUUUCCCCGUAAUAGACUAGACUUUAUUAAGAGUAAUUAGAGUACUAAUACAAGUUGGUAAGAGGCUAAUAGGUGCUACCCAAUUAUCAGUCUAACACUAAUUGAUUUUGAUUAUGUUAAUUGGUGGGGACUGAACGGAUUGGGAGCAGGGCAGGGAUGGUCUAACAAGGUAGCAUUUUUUAAACGUUACCGUAAACUUCUUGUACAUCCUUGCAACAGAAGUAUAAUAUUUUAUUAUUGCUCAUAUGGGUCUCAUAUAUAAUAAUUGUAUCUCUGUUAUUAAAUUUUACAAGUAGUUCACGUAGAAUUACAUCUUAUUCAAAAAAUAUUAUAUCUUUCAAAACUGUUGCCAUAAACAACCGUUCGUGCUCUUGGUCUGCAGGGAUUGAUCAUCUCAUAAUUAGUGUUGCUAUCAACCUGUCAGCUUACCAUUUCCGCGCGAAUUGGGAACCGUAGAGUCGAGUAUUAAAGCGUUUCUAUCCAUCCUUCCCAAGGCCCACUAAUUGCCGGUAAUGGAAGCAGACCCAAGUUAGGCUGCUAAGUGCAGUAGAAUCCAAAUUCAAGUUACCUAAACCAGUAUAACUUCUUCCAAGGCAGAGAGACGUUCGACAGAGAUCAACAUCAUUAAGUAAUUUCCAGGACCGCCCCAUGGGAUGGGAGCAGUAACGCGGAAGGAAAGAACACAUACUUGGGCAUGCAUGUUAAUGAAACUGACUUUGCUAUUCCUAUUUCGUACUAUAUUAAGUUAUUGGCCAAGUAUAUCUAUGCAUUCUAGAAAUGAAUCUUGGAGUUUUUUUUUUUUUUUUUGCCAAAAUAACCUUUUUUUUUUCAAAAAUAUUCCCACAAUGAUUCAACUCCAAAUGUUAUUACUAAUCUAAUCUUCUGACUUUAUCCCCUAAUAAGGUGCAACCUCCUCCAUGCUUUCUAAAUCAAAUUCUUCAAACUCAAUCAAAUUCUCGUUACCACUAUUAUUAACAUAAGAGGUUCCAAACUCACGGGUAUCCAUCUAAAAUAAAAGCAUAAGACUCAUUUCCUCGGCCCUACAUGCAAUUCCCCUCGUAUUGCCACAUGCACAGUGAGUUCCCGUUCAAUAAAGUGUGACAAAAUCAAAACUAAAACUCCGAAAUGAGUUAAUUGAAUGAACAAGUGACGGAGAGUUAGGUAAAGACGUACUAAUAAUUCCAAUUUCGCUAGAUUUGUAGUGAGUUUUUCUUUUUUUUUUCUUUUUUUUUUAAUAGGAAAGAGAGCAUCAAAAAGAGAAAAUUACGGCAACUGGGAUGGAAAUAAACAAUCGAAAUUUUAAAUUUUGCUUUCCAUGUUUGGUGAUAAUUCCAGUUUCUUUGGAUUUGUAGUGAAUUUUUCUUUUUCUUAAUAAGAAGGAAAGCAAAAUUAUUGCAACUACAACGGAAAUGAACGGUCAAAUUUUAGAUUUUGCUCUCAUCUUUCGAAAUAUCGUCAGGUUUAUGUUAAGUAUUCAAGACUUCUACUCUCAUCUUUGAAAAUAUUGUCAGAUUUAUAUUAAGUAUUCAAGAUUUUUUUGGAAAGUAGGGUGACAAGUAAAGACGGAGUAGAGUACUAUAGUCAGAAAGAAGAAGAUACAUUCAGAACAGAGUAUUAUAGUCAUGGACUAUAUUAAUGGCUAAUGAAGAAUUUUACCCUUUUUCUCAUUUCCAUUUGAAUGUGAUCCGAUGGGUAACAGAUAAGGUUGCUAUGGGAAUAAUGUAUGAAAUUGAAUCAUUUUAGGAAUAUUUUUUGUGAAGGGAGUUAUUUAGGCAAAUAACUCUGAAUCUUGGGCAAACUGCAUCCAUCUUCCCAUUCUUAUUUUCACUAUUAGGAAAGUAGUAAUUCAUACAAAGCAGUAGUGAUAUCCCAGAAAUCACAAAGUUCAGAAACAGCUUUGUGAGCUGGGUCACAUUUGAAACAUAAAAAAUCCCAAAAUGACUACGAACAAUUGAUCUUCCAGGACACAGAGAGGAAGGCAGGACAAACUUCAUGUAUAUGCGCUACAACUAAUCACGACUAGUAUUUUUACGUUUACUAGCACGAAGGUCCAGGAAAUAUCCUUUGGGGUUGUCCUGAAAGGCAUCCCUACGGAUACGAGAGUCCCUUCCAGGGGCUUUCAUCAUCUUCCAGUUCGAUGGCUUAGUGCCGCCGCCGCCGCGAAAAUACACAAACAGCACAACUAACCCUGCUGCGACUAGAAACGGUGCAUUAACACGGAGCCAGUGUUGUGGUGGGAAGACCUCUUCCAACCUGCCUAACAAAACCAAACCAAAUUUUUCCGACAGCAAAAACAGUUGCUUCAGCUUCACUUGCAGAUUGUUCAUCAUCUCAUCUGCUCCCAUUGCUUUCAACUUUGCCAGUGUGCUGUUCACCAUAAUCAUGCUUUCUUCCUCAAAUCCCUUCAGUUUCUCCUCAAAUCCCUUCAGUUUCUCCAGCAGAUUGCUGAUCAUACUGAUCAUACUCUCAGCUCCCAUCUUUUAUUCUGUGUGCUACCCAGUGAAAGGACUCGGUAAAAAUCUGCUUCGACUUCUAAUUAAAAGCUUGAAGAACCUUUUGUGUUUGGCAAAAUCCAAUCAAGUGAGGGCGCUAGCCAUAAUAAGCUUGAUCAAGUUGUGAUUUUCUUUAUACCCACGUGAAGGUGAGAAUUUUCGGUGCACUAGUCGUAAAAGCGUUUCACUUCACUAGUAGCACUCACUCCUCAGUACUGCCACCAAAAAAGCUUCUUUAUUCGGCACAGCAGUGUAGCUAGCGAAGCAAGCAUUAUUUAUUGGAUCCGCACAUUAAUCCGGGACCCAGGUGUCUCCUAUCAUUCAUCGUCUUUGUUUAUUUUAGCCACUUCUUACUUUUCAACCAAAGAAAAAGAAAAGGAUUUAAAAACUAAGAAGACCAGAGAAGUCUUUCAAAAUUCAAAUACACGAGGUAGAUGAAGAAAAAAGGCCGGGGGUAGAGUUCAACAAUAUGAGGUCCCAUCUCAAGAAGAAGGAGAGCAGACUAAUUUGUCCCCCAAAAAUUCUUCUCAGAUUAUUAAUCAGCAACCACGAUUACCCAAACUACUAUUAAAGUUAAGUUAAUUCUUGAGUAUUUGGUUGGGGGUCCUUCCUUUUCUUUCUUUUUCUCUAUUAUACUUGAGGAUUCUUGAGUUGCACCAAGAUUUGGUUGGAUAGUACAAUGGAAGGUGAUGUGACUAAGGUAGAUUUAUGGUGGCCAAAAUCUUGGGUUCAGCCUAUUGGUUCCAGUUCCACCCAAAGCGAAAACGGUGACAAUAAAAUGGAUUUAGAUUAAGAAUCAGAAGCUCAUCAGCAUCACAGUCAAUUUGUUUCGAGUAUACAUGCAAUACAAUACUUGUGUGGAAUCAGAAGAUGUAAAAAGAUGCUCCAAGAGCCGACCUGUUUUAUUCGUCAUCAGGAUGGCAUCUGUUCCCCCAGCUUGCCGAAACUAUAGUAUAUAUCCGUUGAGGUAGGGAGCGUAGCUUUUACUUUUUUCGAUACGUUGAGUAGGACUACAGAAUUUGGAAAUUAAGGAAAUUGAUCCGUGAACUAAAAACCAUUGAUGGAUCUGCAGUUUGUGAACAUAUUCCUGGGAAAACGGCUCCUUCAAGCCAAGGAAAUUCUGUAGCACCGACCGCACAUUUUGGACCCAAAUAAUAAUGAAGUGGGAAUACGAUCAUGAUCUUUUUGUCUUUCAAAUGUUAUGUCAAUCUAAGUCACAAGUAACUAAAUGCUAUUUAUUAUGUGUUUAAAGAUAGAUAACGAAAGGCCAAGUCCUUAUUAGUUUUGUGCUUCAACACGCUAGCUAGCAUGGAUAAUCACAAUUUGAAGCGAUUAUUUGAAAAUUCGUAAGCCGUGCGGGUCAUCAGGUAAAACUUAAGUGCAAGCGUCUUGCAAAACUCACUACUUCCCUCCCUAACCAAAUAACCUCAAAUGAACAAACAAGAAUGCAUAUAAGUAAUAAAGCGGACAAACUUUCCAUUGACCAUCUUAUCAACGAUUUUGGGGUCUUGCAAAAGUCACUACUUGCCGCUUGCCACUGCUAUAUACUCCCUCCGUCCCACUUUGAUAGUCCUGUUUUCCUUUUUCAUCUGUCUCAAAUUGUAGUCCACUUUCCAAUUGAAAAAUGUAGUUGUAUUUUAAUUUUUCUAAAAUACCCUUAUUCCAUGUAAGUUGUUGUUACUAUAAACCUACCACGUUUAAUGAGAGUUGACUCUUUUUUUACCGCUACCAUCAAUUCAAGUUCCCAUAAAGUUGUACUCCAUUUAAUGUGAGAAUAUUUUAGGAAAAUAGCAAUCUAAAUUUACUUUUUCAACAAAGUUAACUACUUUUUUUUAAACUGUGUGAAAUAAGAAACAGGAAUACACAUCACUACUAUAUCAGAGUAAUAAAGCUACAUUCCAUUCACCAUCUUGUCAACGACUUUGGGAUCUUGCAAACCAGCUGCCGCUACUAUAUAAUAAAAAAACAAACAAUCUCAAGUGAACAAACGAGAAUACAUAUUAGCAAUAAAGCUACGCAAAAAAAAAAAAUAAAUAAAAAAUUAAAGGUAUGUCUUCCAACCCAGGGGACGGGCCGACUACAAAGAAGAAAGCAGCUGCUGUUGUGGCAGCUGGAAUAGGUCUUGCUCCAUUAACAUCGGGUAUUGCUGCAUUAGCAUGGGGAUCAGUCUCGGCCGAACCAGAGCCGCAAGAUGACAGGAAGAAGAUGAAGGCACCAGGAAGGAAUGGCGAACUCAUCUACAAGGAUGAUUUCCAGCGUGACCCAAGUGGCUAUUUCCGUCAGCUUCGCGUUGACAAAAAGAGCAAAAAAUAAAUCAGGGCUCACAACUAUUACAUAUUAUGAUCAUGGAAUUGUUGCAGUGUGAUUUGAUGUUUUCGGGAUCUACUGGUUGUGUAAUUUCCCGUUUCCUAGUUGCUAAUGGUAUUCUGCAUAUUUGUGUUUGCUAGAGUAUGUUCAAUACAUAUGUAAGAUCAGAGGCAUGCGUGUUCUCUGAUAUAUAUAUACACACACACAUAUAAUGGAUAUAAAAUAUAAUGGAAUUCUGUCGAUGUUACAGAAUUUCUUGGCUUGAAGGAGCUGUUUUCCCAGGAACAUGUUCACGAACUGCAAAUCAAUGGUUUUUAGUUCAAGGAUCAAUUUCCUUAAUUUUCAAAUUCUGUAGUCCUAUUAUGAAGUGGCAAUACAAUCAUGAUCUUUGUCUUUCAAAUUUUAUGUUAAUCCAAGUCACAAGUAACUAAAUUCUGUGUGAACAUUUAUUAUGUGUUUAAAGAUAGAUAACGAAAGGCAAAGUCUUUCAUGGUGGCCAUCAAUCAUUUGACAGUUAUGGUAACGCUUGCACCUUAAGUUUUCCCCGGUGACCCACACGCUUUAAACACAUCCUUUUAAUUUGACGGUGGUUCAGUUUCCAUGGACUGCAGUCCACCGACCAACCCAGCUGCCACUACUAUAUAAUAAACAAACAACCUCAAGUGAACAAACGAGAAUACACAUUAGUAACAAAACUACAUUAAAAAAAAUUGAAGGUAUGUCUUCCAACCCAGGGGAGGGGUCUAAUACAAAGAAGAAAGCAGCUACUGCUGUGGCAGCUGGAAUAGGUCUUGCUGCAUUAGCAUUGGGUAUUGCUGCAUUAGCAUGGGGAUCAGUUUCGGACGAACCAGAGCCGCAAGAUGACAGGAAGAAGAUGAAGGCACCAGGAAGGGAUGGCGUACUCAUCUACAGGGAUGAUUUCGAGGGUAACCCAAAAGACUAUUUCCGACGGUAUCGCGAUGACAAAAGGAGCAAAAAAUAAAUAGGGGCUCGCAACUCUUACAUGUCAUGAUCAUGGAAUUGUUGCAGCUGUAGUGUGAUUUGAUGUUUUCGGGAUCUACUGGUUGUGUAAUUUCCCAUUUCCUAGUUGCUAAUGAUAUUCUGCAUAUUUGUGUUUGCUAGAGUUUGUUCAAUGCAUAUGUAAGAUCAGAGGCUUGCGUGUUCUCUGAUAUAUAUAUAUAUAUAUAUAUAUAUAUAUAUAUAUAUAUACGUAUAAUGGAAAUAAAAUAUCUUAGCAGCUUGUGUUUUAAGUUAAUUUAUGAGUUCCAGAAUGCAUGUAUGGACAGGAAAAAGAGCAUUAUUGUUUGGUGCUGGACAAACAACACUAGACAUGUUGAAUUCGCCUUGGCAUCCACCAUACUUUUGCCAAGAAAAUUAAUCAGAGCUACAAGGAAGCACAACAGAAUACUUGGAAAACAAAAAAUUGUCAAGGUCUCCCCAUCUUCCUUGCUUGUGCUCCCUAGUGAAAUUAAUCAAUUUAAAAAGAGAUGAACUUCUUGCUAGUCAUUACACUGUUCAAAAAACUUUAUAGAUAAAAAAAGAGUAGUACGUUUUCCUCCCAUAGACAUACACAUAUAUGGUGUUAUAGACGAGUUGAAGGAAAAAAUGAACAAUAUGCAUAUGUUUAGAGGAGGAGGAGAAGAGUCUCGUUCCAUUUCUAGGUCAGGGCGAUAUCCGUUAAGAUAACAACGAUCGUUUUCAAGUGAUUCUGGAACUCGAAUCUAAAUACGUCCAUUACAGGCCAAGUCCUUCCUACGAAGGACAAGUCGUUGCUGGUACGAGAUAAUUGCAGUAUACAAUCACUUCACUGCCAUAAGAAAGUCAGUAUAGAAUUUCCGCGAACUGGGUAGUGGGAACUGACAGCUAUUCCUUCCUUCCCAAUCUUUCACAUUUACCCACAAAACGCAGUUGACUCUCGUUGACCAAUUUCUUAAUUAAAUCCCAUCCUGCUUUAAAAAAAAUAAAAAAAAAAGAAGUGGAAAGAGCAUAAAUAAUUUCUCGUAAGAUUUGCAGAUGUUUGUUACUUUAUCCCCUCAAAAAUUUGGCUGUGGGAGCUCCAAAUUUGAGUUCUUAAUUUUUUGACUGUGCAAUCGGAUUGCUAUUUCUUGAAGUUUUUGUAGAAAAAUAUAUUAUAAUAAUUUGAUGUAUGUGAAAUAAAUUAAUAUUAUAAUUAAAAAUUAUAUUUGCAGAAAACGUAAAAAUUUCUUGAGAAAAAAAAAUGCCAAUUCAAACAAGCCUAAUCCUUUCGCACAGCACCAAACAACGCCAAAGUGACUUCUAUCAUCCGAUGUAGUGCUUCUUCUUUUUUUCUUUUUCUUUUUUUUAUUCUAACUUUUCAAACAAGGCCUAAAUCGUACGCACAGCACCGAUCAAUCAACGCCAAAGUGACUUCUAUCAUCCGAGGUAGUGCAUCUUCUUUCUUCUUUCUUUUUCCUUACUUUUUUCUUGAUCUACUUUCCAAGGCAAGAUGAUUGAUCAACAGAAGUUAAGAGAAAUAAAUAAAUGAAAAGAAAAAGUUUGAUAGCUAAUGGUUACCUACUCACGAAGCUUAACUAUAAAGAAAAAUAGGAGAAUCGAUUGUAGUUUCCUUCUCGAGGGGAACUUUUUCAUGGUUGGAUUCUCAGUAUCUUUGCUCCUCGUUUGUCCCUACCUUCUUUCUACUUCUUAGGAGUUAAGAAUCACAAAAGUAGAAGAAAAGGAAUAUGAGAAAUGCAAUGCUACUUGAGUAGCUCCUUGAGAAGGUAGGGCCCGAAGGGGAAGCCUGAUCAAUUGCUUCCUUUGAGGUGAUCAAGAAUUAUUUGCAUGAAGAAAGUAUCAAGUCUUAUUUACAUCAAAAAAAAAAAAAAGGGAGAAAAUAAAAAAGAAUAAUAAUAUGUUCACCAGUUAAAGUUCCCGUGUGUUCAUCUCCGAAGAGACUUCUUAUAUUUCCUUUUCCAAAUUUUCGUACUUUCAUGGCUCUAGAAUUUACAUGAAGAAGAUUUUUUGUUUUGCUUAAGUGAGAAAGGCUUGAUCCUCUGAUUUUUGCAGUGAUCUGCAAGUCUAGUUUGUAUUUUAGCUCGAUGAAAAUAGCAAAUAUCUUGCUAAUUUUCUUGCCAAUUUUGCAACUGAUCAAAGAUAUGUACACAAAACUUAAGAAUAUGUUUCUUCAAGAGUUUGAAGCAUUUAAGGAUCAUAUAUAUAUAAUCACAGGCCCAAAGCAACAUAACCAUCAUCAUCGUCGUCGUCAUUACACAACCAUCUUCUACGACCAACAUGUUGACGUUUGAUGAUAUGAAAGAGUUACAGACACCAAAAGCCAGAAGGGAUUUUUUUUUUUUUUUAAAAAAAAGGCAAAUCUGAGAAGAGAACCAUAGCAAAGAUUCCGUUAUUGGUAGGAGGCAGGCUUUGUAGUUUAUAUAGUUGUAGUGGUAGUGAUCUCUUAGCAGAGUUGAUCACCAGGAUGUGCACGAAGAUUUCUAAAAUAUGAUUUGGGGUUGGCCUCAAAUGCAGGUCUUGGCAUCCUACAGUUUCUGCCUGGAGCUUUCAUCAUCUUGACUCUUCUCCCGCCUCCACAUUUGCAACAGCACUUAUAGCAGCAAUAGAGCAACAGAGACAGAACAACGCCAGCAAUGGCAAUUGGUAAAGCAAUCCGCAGCCAGUGAUGCAGCUUCUCCCCUCUUGUUUCCGGUGGAAAUAUCUUGUCAAACCAUUCCAAGAAUUGCCCCCAAAGGUUUUCCAUCGCUUGCCAUAGUUCCUUCAGCUUCUCCACCACAAACUUUUCUACGCUCUCUAUCCCCAUCUCUGAUCACUCCUCUCUAUUCAGUACUCAGUCCCUGCUCCCUUUGAUUGCUUCCUUACAUAUCUGUGUCAUUAGAAUAAAUAUCCCCCGUUAGUUGACUACGCUUGGACAAUGGUCCACAAGGGGGAAAAAUGAUUGCAUUUUUCCAUUUAAAAAAUAUUAUUAUAUUGUAAUAAUUUUACGAUGUUAAUAGUUUACAAGCGACAAAAAAUGUUUAUGAAAUUUUGAUCUAGUGACUAAAAUUGUAAUUUCAGAAAUCAAAAGCCUUGGAUUCAAUUUUUUUUUUUUUAAAAAGAAAUGAAAAGAUAAUUACAAAACAUACUUAAAAACCCAAAUUUCCAAAGGUUAUAUAUAUAUUUUUCAACCCUCUCGUCUUCUAAGAGCAGAGUGGCUCCAUAUUAAUGCUAUAUUGAAAUGGGUAAUAUCCAUUUUUCCGGUAGUAUACGCAUGAAAAUUAAAUGCAUGCCAAAGUGGCUCCAUAUAUUUUCAUUCGGUGAUUACACAGCAAUUUAAAUGUAACAAUUUUGAUAUGAAAUGAGAAAAUAGUAGGAAAGCAUGCCCACCUCCAUCAUUCAAACACUUAAACCAAAAAAAAAAAAAAACUCGAACAUGGUAAUAUCCUUCUCGAAUAGAAUGUUUUCAAUUUUUUUUUCUUUACUACACAAUUUAUUUAUUCUAUUCUGUAACAAUUUUUUCCUUCGAUUCAUUUUAAGUACUAAGUAAAUCCGAAAUCUUCGUUGCGUUUGGAUUGCAUUUUUCAUGAAAAAAUUACUAUAACGAUUUGAUAUAUAUGAAAAAAAAUAAUAAUAAAAAAAUAUGAUCACGAAAAAUGUCGUUUGACGGAUCCAAACAAGGCUUCAUUCCCAACCAAACAUGAAAACAAGAGCCUGCACUUUCCCGAUUAAAGUUGACGACUUGACCCAAUAGUCUUGCUGUUCCUAGUCUUCAUCAUUAAUCUUGUCAAAACCGAAAAAAAAGUCUUCAUCAUUAAUAUGGAACCGCUGAAUUUUCCCUUCCACAAUUUUGUCGGGAUAUGUGGAAGAUUGGGAAUGAUGGAUUAUUACUUCCAACCAAAUUCCAAGAAAUUCCGCUAACCUAACCCUCGUUUGGAAAAGUAGUAUGGGACUGGGCCCCAAUCCAUUUAGUGCAAUUGACGCAUAGGCAGUACGACAUUAGGAAUUAAUAAUGUGGUUUAACAACCUCCCCAAUUUUCCUAGAAUUUUCCGUCACAAAAGCCUGGUAACCAGCAAUCAAUUAGCUAGAAAUUUCAAGGGAAAAAAAAAACACUAGGAAGAUUAGGAAACUUCGAAAAGGAAUAGAAAAAAAAAAAAAAAACUGCCAUCCACAAAUUCUUGCACUCGUCCUGACUACUGAUUUCAUGAUCAGGAUCCUAGAAAUUAACUAAAGAGACCAGAGUUGUCAAAGAGCAAAAUAACAGUCAGGAAAAUUUCGAUAUUAUUGCAUUUUAAACUUUUUUUUUUGAGCUCCAAGGGAUGACAAAAAGGUGAAAUCAAGAAUUUUCCAGGAAUACAUUUACAACAGCACCAGCUACUACGCAUAUGCAUGGCAUGGCACGGCGUGCUCUGUAAUUGUGCCUUUUCAAGUAGAGACCUACAAAUGGUAACUGUAACACAAAACUCACCUCCCAUAGUCUAUUUGCGAUGUGUCCUCAACAUGGCAUUUCUUCAACACACUCUCGCUAAAGCCCAGCAAGCAGACUAGUUUGAAUUGUUGAGCUAGGCUUGGUGAAAAGACUCUGCACCGUUAAAGCUAUUCAAAACUAAACUCGUCCAAUCUAUCUACAUCUCCAACUCCAAAAAAUGUUUUGCCACCUAAACGUUCAUCUGAAAAAAAAAAAGGGAAAAUCACCAUUAAGACAAUUCAGUAUAUUUGAUGAAUAGCCACAUGUAGCCCGUCAUUUUUCCGGUCAUAUUCGAUCAAAAUUGUUUAGGAAAACCAGUUACUACAUCACCAGGGUGUAAAAGCUUAAACCAAUGUGUGGAAAGGAGGGAAAUACAGCUUUCCAACUCAGACCAUAAUAUACAUCCAAUGAGAGACACACAGGAGGGAGAAGUUAUAACGUACCGUAUUUGGAAGCUAAUAAAAGUUCUGACAGCUGAAAGCUAAAGUUCUAUCUCCUCCUCUUCCUGCCUUUCCCCAAUUGACCAGAUUUAAAUGCAUGUUCUUGUUCUUGAAGGAAAGCCCUUGCUUUACCAUACUUCUCGGCUCUUUCAUCCUCAAGUAGCUUCUUGUCCUUUUCCUUCACCUCAAACAAGAAGUAAUUAUCUUUCCGAAGUUCACGAGCAGCACCUUUAGCUUCACGUUUUAAAAGUUUCUUCAACUUUCUCCUCUCAGCUCGUUCACGAUCUGGAUCAUAAUCUCUCCCCUUUACAAAGCUAGAGGAUUGCGUCCAACAAUUAAAAAUCAGGCGGCAGCUCAUACUAAGUAUUAUUUUUUAAGAGUAACAAAGACACAACUUGUCACAAACAUACUUAUCCUCAAAUUUCGGAUUAAGCAUCUUGAUUGGCACCGGCUUUUGCUUUCUCAUUUGGAGUGGCUGACGCAAAACAUGAUGCUCAUCAGCUUUCUUCUCAAUAAAUUGGGCCACAUCUCUGAGCUUGUCUUUCAACAUUUCUGGCAUGCAAUGUUGCCCUGCCAGCUUAUGCAAUACCUUUGAUAUCUGUAAAAAUAUUUCGGGAAAGGAAUUGAAUCCUUCAUAGAGGUUGACAAAUCCUUUAAGAGUUUCAGCAACUGCUGCGAUAACACUAGCCCUGUCAACAAAAGCAUUCGCCCUUAAUUAAUACUCAUCAACCUCAAAAGGGAACAUCUGUAGAAAAAUAUGCUGCAUCAGAGGCUUAACAAUCAGGAAAAACAUGAUUAAAAAAACAGCACCAAACAGGUAUACACGAUGUAUCCAACAUCAACAUAUAGUCAUAAAGCACAUAUCUAGCUGCCACAAUUUUGAUAGCAUUCACUGCAAGUGAAAUAGCCCCUUUACACCAAUUCUUUCUGAACAAUUUAUGCCUUUCCUUUGAGAAGUAUAUCAGUGAUGUCAUGCACUAGAUAAAUAGAGACGCUCAACUAACAAACACAGUGUACCAUUAACUACAGCAAGAAAAAAGACUGACCUGAAAUUAUCAGAGUUGAAAUGAGGAGAAUCUUCUGGCAAGUCGAUCAGCAUAAGAAAAUCUAAACGGUUGAUCUCCUUCACACUACUCUUGAUACAGAGCAGAGGUUUUAGGGUUUUGAUUUCCAUAAGAUGGUGUAACUGCAUUGAAAACAAAUGCAUAAAGUAGCCUCAUCUACUGUACCUUAAAGGGAAAUUCCCACUAAUGAUUGGCUAAAAGCAAGUCAAACAAUAACUAGUAAAAGAAAUAGGCAAGAGUCAAAACUAACUUCCAUGAUUGGGAGAAAACAAGGAAAUCUUUUGCUAUGUAGAAAAAAUGCUUUCAACAAGAAGAACCCUCGAGAGAAAAAAUUAUGUAUAGGGCACAUGGGAACUGGCAAUAUGCUAUGAAAACCUAAUAUAUUGAUUGAGCCAUACCUGAUGGUCAUCAGCUGAUCCUUGAAUCUUGUCAAAAGCCGCCAAGAGCAGAGUUCUAAUGAAUGUUAAAGCCUCAGGACAAAGUUUUCGGGAUUGUUUCGUGACCUGCAAACAAUUUCACAAGUUGAAGAAAGUGUAGACUUACAAGUGGCCUGGGCGGUACACCCUAAUAAGGUACAUCUAAUGGUAAAACAAAAAAUAAUAAUAAAAACACUAAGACAAGUUGAGUGCACCUACAGAGAGCACCAUAGAGCAUAAGAAGGAACCAACUACAAUAUCCCGACCAGACACAACCUGACACCGCAUCAAAUAUUCACACAUCAGCAAGAUUGCUGGUGUCAUGACCACAUGACGAAAAUCGGAGCACGGAAAGACCAUGGACCACAGCCUCAAAAGAAAGAUUGUUUUCAAAGAAGGCCAACAGCUUUUCCCUAUGAUAAUGGAAUAGCAGAAAAUGUGAGAUAUAUUGAAGAUGGUCCAGAUUAUGCAGGAAAAUCUUUGCAGUAUACUAACAGUAAUGCCAGAGAACUACAAAAUUUAAAAUGUCAAUCACAUCCAAACCUGUAGUUUUAAUGUUGUCAGAGAAUUGUGCCCGAGUAUGUAAUAGUCGUUGACGAGCACAUAUGGCAGCAAAGUAUGGGAUCUCCGCACUCAUUUCCAUCAAUGGCUUCACAAGCAAAUUCAGCAGCUUGAAGUUCAAUGGCUUCUUACUUGCUAAAACAGCAAAGUAUUGCAAUAGAACACCAUAAAACACCUGGCAAUAACAAUUGCAUUGAUUGAUAUCAGUUCAUCUGGAAACAAUAUACAGAAUGCCAGCUCCAACUUGCAAGUUCUAAACAAGAAGAAUCACUUCACGCAUACUAGCACCAUGCGAUCUCUGUCACAGUAUUUGACAAACAAAUAUAUAUGGCAAAGUUAAAAAGACAAUUGAUAGACAUCACAAACAUCAAUCAUACACUAAUUUGUAUAUGGCUAAAGCAAAUGAUAGUCUCUUGUUUCAAGGGUUGUCAAUGAGAUGUUUCAUUACAGAACAAGAGAGGAAAAAGAAAACAAACAUUUCCAAAACCAUAAUCAAUAAAAUAGCAAAUCAAGAAUUAAAGUUCCAUACUUGCAUUUUCUUUCUGUUUUCUGCUGCAACAUGGAUCGCAUUGAAUGCACGAAUUCUCCUUAUUGCUUCAACAAUUUGAUCAUCAGAACAGUUCUCCAACAAUGAAGUAAAUUCUUCCAGGUUUUUUGGAGCUUCAAUUGUAUACGGAAGUUCCCCUUGCUGAACCGAUUGUUGCUUGGCAAUUGCUUUCUGGCUUUCAGUAUCAGAUAAGUUCAUUUGCUUUUCCUUCUUUUCUUGUUCCUUCUUCUUUCUUUCCACCCUAUCACCGUCACUAUCUUCAUCAUCCUGCAGAUAAGUAUCAAUUUUGUCAUCAUCACUCUGUUCCCAGUCUUUCACUGAAUGAGUUUUGUCAUGUUCAUCAUCAUCCUCAUCAGACUCUUCUUCACUAUCAUCUUCACUGCCCCCAGAUUCCUCUGUAGAAGCAGCAUCCUCACUCCCAAGAUCUUCUGCAUUUUCCCUUUGCAAGAUCUGUUGAAUCCAUCCCAAUUUAGUUUUUUUGUCUUCAUGUGAAAAUGAGUCACCAAGAUCAUCACCAGAUAAAGAUCUGAAUUGUUUGGAGGAUGCAUCAUUAUCAUCUGAACCAUCAGGUUCUUCAUCACUUAAUUCAUCAGCAGCAACCAUUCUUUUCUGGCGCUCUUCCUGACAUUGUGGAACAGCAUGAAAGUUAACAGAAGUUCCUAUAAGGUUUAUUUUUCCAACUUCCUACAGUCUAUAUCGAUGAUUUAAAACCCCCCCCCUCCCCCAACAAUAUACAUAUAUCCAUGUCCUUUCCGAUAAAGGAAAAGCACUGCACAUAACAUUUCCCCUUGUCUUCAUGAAGUAGAUUAUGAAAUCUACUGAUAUUCCAAUCCAAGACAUCUAUAUGCAAGCACAAAAAUCACAAUUGGGCAGGUGCCGGUACCAUCAUUGAGCAAUACAUACAAAUAUCAUCAAAUACAAAUCAUUACACAGCAAGGAAAUCAUGUAAACUACACUCUGUUUUACUCAGGUGCAACGAAAAUUGCCAAAAGAGGGUCUACUGCCAAAUGGGAAGCCAAAAACGAACACAAUACUAUGACUGGUUUUGUAAUGUUGUUAAUUAAGAUACAAGACUUCCAUGACUUACUGUAUUCUGAAAAGAAGAAGAAAAGGGCCAAGAGAAUUGUAUAAAGAUAAUUUCAUCCCUAAUUGAGCUUAUGCGUUGUGGCAUAAUUUUCAUCAUAAACGACUCUCCUAAUUCAUAAGGAGAAAACAUUUUUUCCCUUUCUUUUCGGGCUCCCAAAAGAGAGACUUAGUUUAUAAGUAGUAAGAUGAUCUCAUCAGCAACUAAAAAUACCUCCAAUUGCUCCAAGCGUUCUUUCUCCUCUUGUGCAAUCUCUUCAGCUGACUUUGUACGGUCUGAUGGGCGAGCACGCAUAUCCAGUGCCAUCUCACUUACAAGUUUGUCAUAGGAAUCAGGUUUUUCCUGUAAGGUCAUUAUAGCCAUAAUUAUUCAUAUAAAGUCAAGUAAGUAAUUGAAUUGAACAAGAGAUAUAUAAGAAAACCACACAGUUGGAGGGUAAAAAAUAUGAGAUUAAGGCCUUAUGAAGAAGCGUGCGGUACAAUAGCAUCAGAUGGACCAACAUGACAAAGAAAAUAGAGGAGCUUUAAGUUAUCAGAAAUUCAUUUAACAGCAACAUAAGUGAGGAACCAAAAAUAAAAGACAGAAAACAGUUUCUAAGGGAGUAGAGAUGUACUUACCAGUCGAGUAGCAGUUUUGUCCAGGGCUGGAGAUGUGUCAUGUUUCUUUUCUUCAUUUUUAGAACUGCUCUUAUUAACAAGGGCUCUCAAUGCAUUCAUCUUGUUUGGUUGGGUCAACGACAACAGUGCCUCAGACUGCACCAACGAUGUAAAUUCUUGGUCCAGUUGAUCAACCAACUGCUCAUUUUCCUCCUUAUCCUUAGCCUUCUCGGCCUGGAAGAAAGCAAUGGAAAUACACAUUAUCGAAAAGAUCAAGUAACCAUGCUUUUAGACAGUAAACAAGUUACAUAAAGACACAACCUUAAAGAAUUUACUCUUGGAAAUUAUCUCCUCCAUCACUUCUCUUUUGCUUUUCUGCCUCUGAAACAGAAAAAUCACAUGCAUCAGGAGCACGAACAAUUUCAUAAAUAAUUUCCAAGGGGAUACUAAACUACUUUAGACGUAUUGAUGCCAAACUGCUACAAGUUAAAUGCUUAAAUGACAUUUACAUAACCUCACACCAAACUGGCAUGCAUAAACUAAUAUGACAACCCAAUUUGGGAAUAACAGGAAGCCUCAAAACACAUGUAGAAAAAAAAAAAAAAAAAAAACAUAGAUACUAGUCUUUUUCUCAUCCUAUCAACCCCAGGGGCUUCACACACACACACACAGUGUCAAGGCAAUCAAAAGAGUUUAUGGAAGAGAGCAACCAAUUGUGAUAUUAUGAUUAAUCAUGAAAGAAACAAAAUCUCUACUUUCUUGCAUAAAUCAACUACUUGAAAUACCAUGUAAGAAAGGUAGCUAAAAUGUAUGAGAUGGGGGAUGAGAGUCUCACGGUUUCCUGUCCCGCUAAACCUGUUUGCUGAGCAUUCUGCACUGCAGUGAAAUUAAGCUCUCCCAAAAUAUCUGACUUCUCUGGCAGAAAAAGAUUUAUUGCAAUUUAGUCAUAGCAUAGAGGAUAAAAAAUUGAGGAAGGACAACAUAGCUACAACUAUCAAAUUUAUGGACUAAAAAGUUUAAAUGGUAAAACUAAGAACAUCAUCAAUAUCUUAUCCUUCCCUAUAUCGUAGAACUGCAACAAAGGAUGAGCACGGAUUGCAGAUGGACCAGCUAUACUCCAAAGAAGAACAGAAUUGAACACAAGACAAGGCAUCACAUACUUAACAUGAUAGGGGCAUGCUCAGAAGUAGCAUUUUUCCACAAACAUUAACAACAUGCCAACACUUUUAAAACAACCAUGCCAUGCAUUACUCAAUACCUAAGAUCAGAAAGAUCUUGCACUUUAGAUAAAUAAAACACAAAAAAGUGAACAUGUAUUAAUCACUAUUAUCUCAACAACCACAUGAAUCACUAUUACUAACAUGCUCAAGUUCUAGAUUUUUAUCUACUGACAGAUCUAAAUCUACAAGUUGAAACCUUUGCACAACUGAAAUAGCUUUUAAAUCAGGGAUAAAAACUGGCCCAGGUUCUUCUGCUUUCACGAUAUUUAAAACAGGGAUAAAAGCAGUGCCCUGAUCAUCAACAGUUAUGUUCGAAUUUUACAUGUAUUUACCUCCACCGACAAAUGACACCCACAAUCUUACAGUUGGAGAUGUUUUUGAAAUGAAAGAAACCAAUGGGAAGAAGAAUGGAUAGACCUCCCACAAUGGAGUUCUGAAAAGUUGUUCAGUUAGUGUGAGUCACAUUAUGUAUUUGUUUUCUCACUUGUGUUAUUUUCUAAAGUCCAUCUUAUGCUCGUCUAUCCAACUCAAUCACAAGAGAACAUUAACAAAACCACAAUACUACAUUAACCUACUAGCACAAAAAAGAAGCAAUUUUACUUCAUUUACUAAAACAUCACAUACAUUUAUACAAGGUAUGCAUUUGUAAGCCGCUAAGGAUUAUAUACAUACUUGCAUUUCCUGUUGACCCGUCAUCCACAUCCUCAUCCUCAUCAAAUGGUAUUUCAUCAUCAAAAUCAUCCUUUUCUGGAAAAAGACCACCUUGAAUCUCAAGUUCAUCCUCUUCCCCAUCAGAUAAAUUAUACUUGCUUUUCUUGCUCAACUUCAGCUGUCAUUGAUGGGAAAAAAAGGAAAAAAAACCGGUCUUACACAUACAUAGAAGCAAGAUACAAUAACAUUGUAGCAAUUAAAAAAGACAAGCAAGAAAAACUUUUGGUUACAUAACAAAACCUUUCUGAUCCAACUCACCUGCCUUUCACGUUGAGACCUCAUAAUAGCCUUAUCAAACUCCCCAAGCAAUUCAUUUUGCUCCCCAAUUCGCUUAUCCAGAAAAACAGAUGACUUUCCACUCUGUUCAUACUCCUUCAACAGCGUCUUCUUCCUCUGCAUCCCAAAUUAAAACCAAAAAAGGAAAAUCAACAACAAAACAUCCAAGCACAACACAAUUCAAUCCAAAGAAACCAAAAAAAUUUCUUUUUUUUUUGGUUUUGCAAUUCACUCCUAUUGAAUUUCUUGCCAUAAGUUGUAAUCAAAUUGACCUUUUCAAUGGCAAGGGACCGAGCUAGGCCUAUACGACGUUGUUCACCCUUGCGCUUUUUACCGAGGAUAUCGAAUUUGCGACGGGACCAAAUGGUCUCAAAUGGGUUCGGUUGGGGGGCUUUUUGCUUCAUUGCUACUGCAUUUGGACCUGAUCUUUUGUUGCUUUUCUUUUUAUUUUUCUUCGUCUUUGUGCCGUCGGAGCUUGAUUUCUUCGCCAUGGGAGCUCUUCUUUACUUCUCAGAGGAAUUUGGAACUGGAUUAGAGCUAACCAGACGAAAAAGGGUUUAGGGUUUAAGGACUGGGGAGAAAGAAGAAGAAGAAGAUGGCGAGCUGGGAUAAAUUGGGCUGGGCUCUUACACUCUAUGGGCUAUAAGGUCUUUCAACAUCCACGGUUUUGUCCAACUAUUUCCUUUAGUUCUUUUAUUGGGCCUUGAACGAAAGAAAGACCACGUAUUCUAGGCUACAUGGAUAUCCUGUGGGUAUUCCCGUAGUUUGAUUUGUUGUUUACGACGACUAAUUCAUAUAAUUUGUAGUUUUACUACUACAUAAUUUGUAGUUUAGUGGGACUGUUCAAGUUUUUUGAGGUUUAAGAGUAAAUAUUAGUCUUAUAAUCGAUCUGGUAUUACAUAAUACCAACGUUGAAGUCAAAAUAGCUUGUUGGAAUCUAAUACGGUUCAGCCCGAUUGUUUUACUUUUUACAUUAAUUUGAUGUAUAAUUACAUUACACUAUUGUGUUCGGAAUAAAAGUAGUGUACAUGAAUAAAAUAUUUGACAUUAUUUAGUAUAAUAUUAUGAUGUAUUUAUAUGUAAAAAAAUUUAAACAGAUACAAGAAGUGAACAGAACCGUACAAAACACAAUUGUCCCGAGUCCUUGUCUAGCAUUGAAUGUGAUCUUCCAUCGCUUCGCGCACUAUGUUAGUAACUCAAUGGUAAGGUUCAUAACAUUGGUCUCAGGAAAAACAUGUCAUGAAUGAUAGUUUUAUAUACAUGGUAUAAAACAUUCUUUUAUUUGAAUAAAAAAAUUGAAUUAGACUGACAUAUUAAGAAAAGUUAAAUUCUGAAUCUUACCCUAUGAACAUCAUUUAUUAAGGGUCAGGAAACAAAAAGUAGCCCUUUCAUCCAUGUACUCAUGAAUGCAAUUAUAAAGGUGUUGUCAAAUUGCAUUCAUAUAUGGGAAUGAAGAAGGAUGAAUGGUCAAAUAGAAGUAAUAGUCCAAAGGGAUUGAUUAAUGAAACAAGUUAGGUAACAUCUUUUGAGAGUAAAGGUAGAGAAGGAAAUGGUUGAAUGAUUAGCAGACUACCAAACGCAUAAUCCUAUUAGGGAAGUAAUCCAAUGUAAAAAAGGCUAAUGUGCAUGAUUCUUUUUCUUUUUCUUUUUUUUUCCCCCUUGCGGUUGCAUGCAAUAUUCAAGCUCAAAGUCUAGAAGGGAAGAGUCAAAUUGGAAGCAAUUAUUAGGAUACGCAAAAAAGGUUGAUGCCCCCUAGGUUGUCAGAGAUAUGUCGAGUCUACUUCUAUUUUGUUUCCUUUCAUCAAAGGUCCACCAAAAAAAAAAAUUCAGAUGGGCGUGCUGUUCAUCCGUCUGAUCCGAUGGUGGUUCAGUCCCUUCCGAUUUAUCCCUGAGCCUCCUUAGACCCGCCCCUUCCCCUUAGUAUUGGAUAGAUUAGGCUUAUCGUCUCCGGCAAAAAAAAAAAAAAAAAAAAUCAAAGGUGCACCAAAAUUAUUCCCAAAAUUUCCUUUCACCAAAAUUAAUAUGUUUUAUGUUUCAUGAGUAAUUAAUUACCUGACUGCAAGAUUUUUUUUUUGUUUUUUAACAUCCCUAGUUUAAGCUUAUGUUCAGUUGAAGUCAUCCCGCAUUCUUUUCAUCGUAUUGCUAGCUAGUUCUGUCAGCCAUGCGUGCGCGACGCGCGAAGAAAUUAAGAAAGAAAGAAAGGUCGUGUGCUUGCCUUUCAAUGUCUUUAGCAUGAAGCCGUCAUUUAAAUUAAUCUCUUUCGGUCUUACAUAGGGCUGCAAACGAGACGAGUCGAAUCGAGUUUUGAGCUAAUCGAACCGAGUCUCGACUAAAUUUUACCAAACUCGAACUCGAGCUCGAGCUCGACGAGCUGGUAAUUUUCGAGCUCGAGCUCGACUCGAAUCAAGUCGAGCCGAGCUCGAGCUCGAAAAAAAUAAAAAAAAAAUAUUUUUAUUAAAAAAAAUAAAUAAAAUAAUUUUUUUUCCGAAUAAAUAAUAAAAUAUUAAGGAUAUAUCCAUAAUUUCACUAUGAAAAUAAAAAAUAAAAAAAUAUAUAUAUAAUAUACGUAAUUUUAUUAUUAAAUAAAAAUAAAAAUAAAAAAAAUAUAUAUAUAUACUCAAGCUCGCGAGCCGGCUCGCGAGCUAACGAGCUUAAUAUUCUGAGCUCGAGUUCGAGCUCGAGUUUGACUCGAGCUGGCUCGAGCCGCUCGCGAGCGGCUCGAUUCGUUUGCAGCCCUAAUCUUACAUAUUGCUCUGAUAGACAUCUUUAGUGCUGUUGUCCCGUCUAGAGGGCAAAAAUUUCAAUACAAGGAGGGCCGAGAUAAGUGGCAAUGGUGGCAACUUCACCGGACACUGGUGCAAAGAUUUAUCUCAAAAAUAUAGUAAUUUGGAGUCCCUCCUCAUGAUUUCGCCCUCAACAAGUGUCAUUAAAGGAUUCGAAGCUUUCUACUGCCAUCAAAACAUCUUACAGAAGAUUUUGGAAUGAUCCCUCUGUUGAAAUGAUUCCAUGGAGUAUAAUAAGCUGUAAACUGAUAAUCAUCUUUCUUUUAGAGAAAUGUUGGAACCAUGAAUUUUGCCGACGGUGGGCUACAGGCUGAGUCAAGAUCACUUCAAGGUCACGUAUUCAUCAGUAGGACAACUCCGACAUGUUUUCUGCUUUUCUCUUUAGUUAUCCCCAUGAACUCAAAUAAAGUAUGCCCUGAUUCAGUCAGCAAUUGCACCAUCCAAGGAAAUUUAAAGUGGUCAAGGGAUCCCUUCAACAAGAUACCUCAUGGCCUAGCUAAAGUUUUACAGUUGUAAUGGGCUUUGUAAUUAGUUGUGAGUUGAGUUGAAGGGUUCAAUUUAAUCAUAUCAUUAUUUCAAAUUUUAGUUCUUUUUACGUAAUUUAUAUGUAGCCAUAAGUUUCAAUCUAACUCAAAUUGACAAGUUGAGAUGUUGAUUUAUGAUGCAAAAUUCUCCUUUUUUUUUUCCCACCCCCUUAAUUAAUUCCUUCCCUUGCCAUCAUAGUGCUUAAUAAUUAGUAGGAUCACAAAAGUUACAUUCACCAAUAAAUAAAUAUUGCACUACAAUUACAUGGAUAUUGCGAAAUGCAACUGUCCCAUUAAGAGAAAAACUUCAAGAAAUAUGUAUCCGAGUCCUCAUUCAAUCAACAUCAAGCCAAAAGCCAGAAAUCUUUCUGUCGCUUAGUAGUAAUCAAAUAUCCACCAAGUUUCUUGCUUUUCUUUCUUACGGCAAGGGCCAUGCAAGUAGCAUUUUGGAUACAAUACUCUACGACUCCACCUGCUGCCACCUUAUUCCCUGCCCACAUCAUUAGAAGCCUCCACGUUGUGGAACGCUUCUUCUGCCCUAGAACAAGAAGUGCCACCCCCUGCUUUUUAGCCUCUUCUACAAUCGCUGGACCUUUCUCUUUUCCUUCUGCCACUGCCACCUCUAUUUGUACCUUUUCAUGCAUGGAUUGUAACAAGAACUUUAAAUAAGGAGCUAAUGUCACCACUGAUUACGUACCCUCUUAAUCUUGACCAGGAAAGUUAAAAGGGUCUCCUUCAGAAUUACUUUUGUAGUCGAUCAAAUUUUGUACUAGAAAAUCUCAACUUUAUCAUGUUCAAGUCUUAUCAGUGUGUAAAUUGUGAUAUGUCUAUAUACAAAUUCGUCCCAAGAAGUGAAAAAAGAAAUUAAAAAUGGGUUCCAAUUAUCAUCAUAAACCAUAUAACAUAUCGAAUUAACCGCUCAGUUUUGUGAUAAGAAAUUGUGAAAAAUAAUACUAAGUUACUAUUUAUGUACCUCAGGUCUCUUCUGUUGGCACAAAAUCUUCAUGCAAGAAAGAAACUGGGAAACUCUUGGAGCCACCUCUUUGAUGGCCUCUUCACCUGCCAAGAAAACGGAAAAAUUCAUUUACGCAAAACUACGCUCGAUAAACAUCAAACUAAAAGCUAAAACUAAUCCUAGAAUUACUCAAAGAUAUGGUGAAUAAGUGCAACCUGGAUUUGAAGGCUUAGUUACAUAGAGAAGAAUCACCAAAUCUUGGCUUUGAACGGUAUGAGUUAACGCCCAUUGUAUGGCAUUCUUUGCUUCAGGACUUGAAUCAACAACAAUCAUUAUUUUCCUUCCAAUAAUCACACUUGCAGGCUUCACAUUUACAACAUCAACACAUGACUUCUCCUUCUCUACAUUCCCAGAAUCAUUCUUUUCUUCUUCUUCUUCUUCACUUUUGGAAAAAUGUGAGUGGUUCUUUGAACGAAUUCGAACAAGAGGCCUGAUCCUGUUUAAGCAAAAACUUGGCACUGUAGCCCCAAUUCGACCCAUAUUUUCUUGAUUGAAAAUGGGACCUUGUAACUUAGUUCCAAACUCCUAUAAGGCCAAGUGCUCAGCUUUAUAGCAGAAGUUAGGAGAAGAAGAAUCAUGUAUUCAUGAGAAGUUGUUAGGCCUUUCGCCUGAGACUUUGCCUAGCCAAGUUCUUGCUCAUGAUGAUCUGGGCCAUUAUUUCCCUUCUCUUUUCCUACUUUUCUUUGCUUCUUUUGCCGUUUCAUCAUUUUUCAUUCCCUUUGCUUCUUUUAAUUAUUUUUUUGGUUCUGUGGGCUAUGCCUGAACGUGCUUGUCAUGAAGAUGUAGGGCCUUGGCAUUCAAGACCAGAUGUUAUUUAAUUCUCGUGCGUAUUUUUGGUGUGUACAUAUACGCGCAUAUAUAUAUAUAUAUAUAUAUAUAUAUAUAUAUAUAUAUAUAUAUAUGUUUUCGUGGGUCAAACUCCUCAGAUCAGACAUUUUUCUUGUAAUUGAUCUGGUGGAAACUUAAUUACCAUGCUUUAAUUUUAUUACAUUUAUUGAUUAUCUUUAAAAAAAAAAGUAGGAUAUCUAAUAUCUUUUACUCUGUUUCUUUAGCAUAGAAUCUUGGUGUUGUAUAGAAUAAUAUUUUUCUCGUUUAGUAUAAACAAGAGUAGGCUAUCUUUUACUCUAUUUCCAUGGGAUAGAGUCUUGUGUGUCGUAUAAAAUACCAUUUUUCUUGUUCAGUAUCUGAUUAGUGAUGCUCUAAACCGUGUUUUACUCUUUAAGCCAUCUUUACCAAUAACAUUCACUUUAGACUUUGAUUGUUUUGAGGGAAUAUGAGUGAAGGGAAAGGAGAGGACUAAAGUGGGGAGGAGAGAAAAGGAGAAUAGAGAAAAGCAAAUUCUAUCAAACAUGUUUAGAUUAAUUAGGAAAGGAAGGGAAACAUUGAAAAUAUUAUUUAGAUUCGGGAAGGAAAGGAAAGAAAACUAUUUGGUGUUACCUACGUUUUUAUUCAUAAUUUUAAAAAGUUUAAUAUGUAAAAAGAUAUGUUUUUUUAGAAAAUUUUAAAAUUUUCACUAAUUUUGAUUUCCUUUCCUUUUGUUUCCACUCACUUUUGGACAAAAAACAAUAUGAUAAAAAAUAACUAAACCUUAUCCCUAUCUUUUCCUCCCUACCCUUUCCAUUCCUUCCUCACAAACCAUUAUAAAUAUGAAAAACCAUAUCCCUUCAUUUCCUUUCCUUCCCUUCUUAUUCUAUCUUUUCCUUUUCCUCCUCAAAGAUCAAUCUAAAUGUAAAAACAUCUAUCCUUUCAUUCCCUUUUCUUUCUCUCUUGUUCCCUCAAAACAAUCAGAACCUUAGGGAAGCGAGAAAUACGAUUGUUGGCACAGUUGUUGUAAAUGCAAGAUCUUAUCCACAAAAAAGAAUUUUAUUGGUGUAGAAAACUACUUAUUCAAGAAUAUUAAUACAGAUAUAUGGAUACUAAAUUUUGUUCAAAAAAAUACACCACUUGAACAUUUCCGCCCUUGUUAAUUUGAUGGGCCGAAUAUCAGCUCGAAAGAGUCUUCGCCAAUUCUCAGCCCAACCCAAGUUCCAAAUUGGAUCCCUCUAAAAAGUUGUUUUUGCCUAAGGGUUGCUAGCCAACUCACAAAAUUUACGAAAAACAUUUCCGUUUCCUCUUAAGGAUACAACUCUUAAUUAUUUACGAGAAUUGGUAUUCGCACUCUUUCUCUCUCGUGUAUUUUAAUCCAUUCACUAAGUAAAUAUACCUUCAACGAGUGCAAGAGACCAAUUUAAGAGUGCAAAUAUCACUUCGCUUAUUUACUACUUAUGCUUGCAUAUUUAUUUGCAUUUUGAAUUGUACUCUAAUUUUUAGUUUUUUUUUUCCCAUUUUGAUACGUUCUUUCUCAUAGUAAAACUAGAGAGAAUUAAAAGGUGAAAAAGAAGAAGAAGAAGAAGAAAAAAAAAAAGGAACCAAUUAUUGAUUAGCGGUGCCUAGUGGCUCGCGGAGGAACCUACAAUUGCAAAUUUGGCUUUUUGUCAAUUCACUUGUCUAGAUCCUUUGUCUUCUUCACAAAUGGCAAAGCUAUUAAAGCCAAAAUUGUUAUUGUUUUCAAUCCCAAAAGGCAAUAAUAAAUAACUAUCCAUCUUCUUGUUGCAUAGAUUGACCAACUCAAAGUCAUUAGCAAAAACCAUCCAAUAGAAAAACACUUUUUAGUGGUUAGCUAUGGUAGGCGGUAACCAUAACAAUACUUACUAAUAUGAAGAAUACAACUCGGUCGUAGAUCAAACCAUAGGCCACACAAUAUUUAAUUAGGAAGGCAAUUUCAUUGAAUUGAUGAUGAAGAAGGGUUUAAUUCAUCUACUAAUCUUCCUUGUAAGAUUCCGUGUUAUAUUUGAAGAUGUAUGUCCAUUGGUCGGUCGGUCAACUAUUAAAAUCAAAGUCCUUAUUUGGUAGAAUAUUACUAGGACGAUAAACUACACAACUCUCAAAUGCGUACGGACACUGCCAUUAAAAAAUAAUAAUAAUAAAGUAUCAUGGAAGAAAUGUAUUCCAUAACUCUACAUCUUAAAGAGGAUAAAAUUUACUCAUUUUACAUAAUUCAUGAAACUCUGUUUCGAUUGUAAUUUAUUUGUCAAUUUUUAUUUGUUUGCAUCAUUAAUAUAAUUUUCAAUCACGUUUUUAUCGCAAAUACAUCAUAUUCAAAAAAAAGUAUUAUAGUUUUGUUAUCAAAAAAAUUUUCAAAUAACCUACUAUCAAAACACACUCAGUUUAAGAGGAACUUAUACAUAAAAUUUACUCGUUUUGUUUUCAUUAUUAUUGAUACUAGUACCAGAAAUUAUAAAUUCAAGAUACUCCACUAUAGCUGAUUUUGCAUAUAUCAACACAACAUCAUUCAUGGCGAUUCCCCCUCUUAAAAUAAUCUAAUGUUAAGAGCACACCCAAUGCACGUGUAAUGUAGAAAUGAUUAAAAUGUGCGUGCAAUGUAGCAAUAAUUUUAAAAAUUAAGUUUAUAUAAAUUUAUUUUCUACAUAAAUAAAAUUUGUAUAAAAAUAACAUUAAAAACUUUGAUUUAUAUGGUUAUAUAAUUUAUUAAUUUAGCUGCUACAAUACUUAAGAUGGUAAGGUUGAGGUCUCAAGAUUUCUAAUUUAGUGAGUUCAUAUCUCCCUUGGCCUCAUCCCACUUCUUAAAUCGCAUCAUUGCUCCACUAGAAAAUGUGAUUAAGAAAUAUUUAAACAAGGGGAUUAUGGGUAAUUAUGUUGGUAAAAUAUGAUUAAAAUACAAAUUAAUAUUUGUGAAGGUAAAAUUAUAAAUUAUUUUUAAAAGACAAAAGGUGUUUACACCAAGUGCAACUACUUUGACUUCAUAUAUUGAAUUAAUAUUGUUUUAAACUGUUAGUGAAUACACUAACAGGUUUAGAUAAUAUGUAUGUCACACAUAUAAGAUUUGAUGUUUAAAUUUGAAAGGAUUUAUCUUCCCCGAAAAAAAAAAUUUAAAAGGUUUUAUCCAUAUACAUUGUAUAGAUAUUUAAGAAAAGCAGGAUUAGCAUUUCCUUGCCGCAUUAGGCUGGUCCUAAACGAUAGACCUUCUUCCUUAAAGAAAAAUAAAAAUAAAAAUAAAAAAAUUUCUUGCCCAAAGCUAAAAAAAGAAGAUAUAUAAUUCUAUUGUCAGCUAAUUCGUGGCCCAAAAAUCCUAAACCCAAACGGCACACAAAAGUAAAUAAUAUAGAAAAUUGCCAAGCUCCGGAGGAGCAGUAGUCUCCUUUACUUCUUCUCAACUCAAGCCCCCACUUUGAUCAUUGUCGAACCGAAAACCCUGCUAUGCACCUGGUACAGUAAUCUCUCUGUCUCUCUCAUUCGACAGUCUCAUGCAUAACUAACGAUAUAUGCAUAUGUUUGCAGAUUUUGAUGGGCUAUUCAGAAGUCUUAUUGCUUUUUGCUGGAACAUAUUAUCAAGAGGGUCAUUGUUUUCUGUUUGGAAUGUUUUCUUUUGGGUUAUGCGUUUUCUUUCUUUUUGCUGAUUGGAUAAGUAAAGAUUGAGUCUUGCAAGUAGCAGCUUUAAAGAAAUAAAAUGAGUGUUGCAAUGUGAUUUUUCACAGAAUUUACUAGUCUUUUUGAUGCUGUAUUACCAUUUUUUUUGGUUUUAAAAACAUAUAGGUUUUAUUAACAAAAAAAAAAAAAGUUCUGUUUUUUGUUGUUCAAUUCGUGCUUUAAUGUCUAUUAUUCUGUUUUAUGAAUGAAAUUUGUCCUCUUCUUUACAGGGUAUUUUUUUAGGACUUUAUUAGUCCUAAGAAAGUUGCAAUUUUGCUAAUUCUUGCUGUUUAGGAGUAGAUUAGACGACUUGGCCCUACCUUGAUGUUUGUAACUAUAUUACCUUCAAUGAAACAGUAGAAUAAAGAGGCUUGAUCGUUUGUACUUUUAGUAGUUUCUCGUUUUUUUUUUCUCAGAAUAUCUAUUUUAAUUCUUUGCAUUGGUUAGCUUCUGACAAUGAGAUUGAAUUGCUCUGCAAAAAUUGGUCUGAUGUAGAAUUGAAGCUGCAUCAUGGGUGCCGUUUGUUGUUGUUUCCCUGUUCCUAACAUUGCUGGCCAUGAAGAUGAGAACGGCUCGAACCAUGGAAACUGCCCUUGCCUCAAUUGCUGUAUACAAAGCAUUAGGGAUAAGGUGCAACAAAAGGCUCCUCUUUCUUUGAUUUGAAAUCAACAGGAUAGUGUCACCUAUUAACGUUUCAGAAAUAUUUGGAAAUAAAUUGUGAUGCCUAUAUUCUUUAUCCCUUUUUUAUUUAGAUUGUUCAUGGUCUCUGGCUUUUACUUCUGUCCUUAUUCCUCCAGCACCUCCUUGUUCUCUGUUUGUUUGUUAAUGUGCUCCAUAUGAAGUUGGGACAUAUACUUCCUUCUCGAUUAUGAUUUCUAUGAUGGUUUUCCACUCAAGGGACAUUUUGUAGGUUUAAUUGUUCUGCAGAGUGUAACUAAAAGCAGGCAUUACCUGCUUAUGCUGCACCAACUAAAAUAUAUUGGAUUUUUGGGAAACAGUUUCGUUAGCUGUAGACAUCUUUUAGCACUCUGUGAUUCUUUAAUUUGGUUGAUUUUAGAUGUCCAACAUUCUUUAGCUCUCAAAUGCUGUUUGAGUUUGAUAAUGUGACUUGGCAAUAAUGCAGUGCUAUGAACACUAUCCACCACUCCUUUGUUAUGUAUAGUAACUGCUAAAGAAAUCUUGCUGCACUUAAAACACCAAAUUUCUUGAUUACCAACUAUUCACAUUAAGCAAUUGAAUAUACAACUCAUGGAGUACUUGACCAUGUUAACUUUUACAUUCACAAAACAAGACAUCUAGUGAGGAUUAUUUUGUCUCUUUAGCUGGCAGGGUAUAACUUUUGAAACAUCUGACAUCAUCGCACUGCUUAGUGCAGGAAUUGGAGAAGAAGAAAAGGGUGGUGGAGACAGAGAGUGGGAAGGGGAGUAAGCGCAGAACAUCUUGUUUAUUGUCUCUUGUUUCAUUGAGAUAGGAUCAUAUAGAGGAAACAUGAAAAAGUCAGUCCUCAUUUCUGUUCCCUUUUUUCUUAUUUAAAUUUGGCAUUACCCUCUAGGUUGAGUGGUUGAGGGGAGACAUAAAAUGACCUCAAAGAAUAAAGACUGUUUUGUUUUACUUCAUCCAAUUAGCCUCAACUACUUCUGACACUCUCCUCUGUGUUUGACUUUUCUUUGCAACCAAAGAUAUCAUAAUAUUGUGUUUUGAUGUAUGCCAUUCUUAUACAAGGUCUACUACUUUAUUUGCUGCUUUUGUGUUUUUUUGGUUAUUUCCAGAUGUGAAAUGAUUCAUUCAAGUUGUUGAAAAGUUGACCCUCAAGUGUAAUGUUGACAGUAUGGAGCUCUAUUUGCAAGAGGGAGUGGGCUUCCAGCCCUGAUAUCUAAUCAAGGUGCAACCUCUCCAGACCCUGUGGUACCAACUCACAGUUCAGCUAUCACCAGAGCAUCUGAUAGAACUUUGCAAAUGAAUCCCAAUUCUGGAUAUUCUCCAGUGCCACAAGAUGUUAUCUGCAGACAUGACAAAGGCUCAAACCAUUCACGUGUAGAGCCAGAACCAGCAGGUGAUCCUGAAGUUCAACAAACGCCAAGACCUUCAAAAGUAGGAGACAGAUUAGUUUACAACCAAAGUGAGUCCUCGGUGAAGGACUUCUCGUCAAGCAUGCAAAAAGGAGUUGGUUAUGAUGUUACAUUCUCAGAAGAUGAAGAUGCAUGUCCUACAUGUCUUGAAGGUAAGCUUCAGCCAUCCCAUCCCCAUCCCCCACUUUUAUUCUCUUUUCCAGUCAAUAAAGUGAAAGAGAUGACAUUCUAUUCAAAGAAGCUGUCUAGAUUCAAUUGCUGGUAAAUUUUGAUGUUUUAGCUUUUAUUGGGUUCUAAUAACCUAGUGCUUAAUGGUUCUUUGAAUAACAUAUUCACAAAAUAUUUUCUGUGCAGAGUAUACACUGGAAAAUCCCAAGAUAAUAACUAAAUGUUUUCACCAUUAUCACCUGAGUUGCAUAUACGAGUGGCUGGAGAGAAGUGAUACUUGUCCAGUUUGUGGAAUGGUAAUUUCUUUCAUAUGAUCUUUUUUCUCUUUGCAUUUUUCUAAGGUCUAUUAUGAAAUCCUUUUUUGCUAUUCAUUUACAUGGGUUAAUCAUCUUGUCAAGUCAUACACUUGUUAUGAAUAGAUAUGUCUAGAAAUUUUCGUGUUAGCUUGUUUAAUGGCUAAUCUUAAGCAUUCAUCCUUCAAGAUUCAUAGGUUAGAUUUUCUUCAUUUUGAUUUUGAUUCUUCUGGAGUUCUUUUUCAAAACCAUUUCUGUUUGACUAAUUGUUGAAUACUUUAGAUGAUUGAAUGUGACAUCAUGUACACCUGAAAAAAUGUUAGAACUCUGGGGGACAUAUAGUAGUGGGUUUGUGAUCUUCUGCAUGAAACUACUGCUAAGUCUUAGCUAACUAACUUUAAGGCAGGUGGCAAAUGCACACAGUUUUGAUGCAGGUUCAGGUAACAUACUCUAUAUACUGACAUAUUAUUUGAAAGUAGAAAAAAGAAAAAGCUUAGGAAAUUAAUCUCCACAGAUGCUCUCUAUGAUGUGGGAUAGUGUGUUGAGGAAUACGAUUGGAUGUGAAGAGCUUGGCCCUUUUUGUUCCAAAGUCAUUUUCUUUGCCUUUUAAUCAACUUUGUCUGUGGGCAAAAGGUCUACUCCAUGGUUGUGGUGCAAGUGGAGUUGGAUCUUGACUUUCCUCCUUUCUUUACUGGAUUUAGGAUGUGCUGAUUGUUUUUGUUGUUAGAAAAUGUGGUUUGCUCCCUGCAAAGAUGUCCUGUUGGCCCAAUCUCUUUUCUGAAGACCUUUUACAGAUGUUAUUCUUGCUUUGGACAUUGCCAGCAUUCAUUCAUUGUGCUAUAGCUUACUCAUCUUAACUGCUUUAGCUAGUAAGCUUUAUGAGAUUGCCAUGCUCAUAAUCAAGCCUGAUUUUCUUUGUUUCUUACCUAGUUGAUGGAAUUCAAUGAGACAUGACUUUGGAGUGCUGAUGCCACGGCAAGGAGGGCUGAAGAAAGACAAGAAUAUAUAUAUAUAUAUAUAUAUAAUCAUGGGAGAAAAACGAAAAUUGAUUGUGUACAUAGCUUAUAGUGAGUAGAUCACUGAAAGUUUUGAUUUUUUUAAAGUUGAUAAGGUUGUACAGGCUGUGCCACUUGUCACAAUAAUUUAUUGGCCUCGUUUUUAGGUUCCUUUUCUAUUUGAUAAACAUAGUAAAGCCAAUAAUAGGAUCAUGAUGCAGCGGUGAGGGGAAUUUUUUUUUUUUUUAGGCCUCAUUAGGAGAUGAGAUUAGUUUUUUUUUUUUUUUUUUUUCCUUUUUUUGGGUUUUUUGUUGUUUUUUUUGGGGGGGGGGGGGAGUGUUUGGGUUUUGAUAUGUUGCUUCAAGGAGUAAAACAAUCUGGUGCGGAAUACUUGCCAAAACUUUUAAACUAAAUAGUACUUGAGUCUCUUUCAGGCUCUGAGAUUUUUGACUUCUAAUGGUAACACCAUCAAGUGAUUAGAAUUCCAGUAUGUUCAUUCUGUCUCCGAUAAUUACAUGGUUUUUGGCAAUUUACCUCGUGUACAAAUAUACCGUACCUAACUGGAUCUUGAAGUAACAUUUCCUUGAUUGUUAUUUUAUGAUUCCAAUACUGAAGCUGCUAGAAUUGAUGUUUUCUUAGUAAACACCUGGGUCAUCCUAUGAAGCGUCUGGACAAGGUAAAUUAUCAUGGCCGAAGCAAUUCCAUGCUUAAAUGCAACCUAGGUGAUGAAUGCCAGGACUUUGGCUCGAUCACAAGAUAGUUUUGGAGUUUGAAAUUCAUCCCUCUCCGGAUUGCAAUUACAAAAAGCAAAAUGUGCAAGUGACAAAGUGAGUUAUAUAUCCCAAUGAAUUUUAGCUAUUACUAGUUUCAAAUAUUAAUGAAUGAACAAGAUAAAUUAGCUCGUUAACUCAAAUUCUUUUCAUCCCCUUCUGUGUAGUUGUUAUUGAUAGUAGACGCUUAAGAUCCUAAAGUGCUCAUAUGUAUGUUACCACAAUAGUAGAUAUAACAUACACCAGCAAGAUUGAGCCCCCUCUACAAAAUAUUCACAAACCUGAUCAUCCAUGGUCAAAUAAUGAGUGAUAUUAAUGCCACAACUUGAAUUUUAUUUCUACAGUUAUUACUGAAUGAAAUGUCAAAAUUGCUCAUCCAAGCCCAAAUGCAAUUUGAUUUUCGAAAGGGGUUGUUUUAACAUUUUCAACAAGAAUUGUUGUGGAAAUAAAAUUCAGCUGUGGCUGUAUCACAUAUCUCCAAAUAAUUGUUGAACUCUAACGAGAUAAUUUUUGAGCGGACGAACUAAACUGGCAGCACGAGCUCACCUGUCAAAACAAACAAGAAUGGUCGGGAUCUUAUUCUCCGGUCUCACUCCGAUGCUAAAGUCAGUUAUGGAAUGAGAGUCGAGAUGCACAUCUAGUAAGUGGUUAAUCCCAUGUACUUGAUUUACAGAUGGCAAGGGAUAUUUAUAAGGAAGGUCCUGACAGAUAGGAUGUAACGCCUACGCUUAACUGGUUGUCAGAUGGCAGUUUAUGAUGGCGGGUUCAGUCGUAACCAUGACCGCUAGGGCGGCGGGUAGUCACAUCAACCUAACGAUAGCUGGCUACCUGCACCGCCAGCAUGCCAGGUGUUGGACCCAUAGCGGGAUCCGAUUUGGAUCACGGAACAGACGAGCUUAGGUAACCAUCCCGGCAACGAGGAGUCGAGAUGGUACCCACAAACUCAAUGUCCAAUAUGAACAUCCAAUUUAAUCUAAUGCUUAGUGGCCCUAAUUAGUUAAGAAUUCUAGCUUGCAACACGAAAGCAUCCCAUAAAAAAGAAGGAAAGAAAGAAAGAAAGAAACAAUUGGAGGCUACAAACUUAUACAGAACAUUAAUAUUUAUUUCCACAGCUCCAAUUGUGUCGUUUUUCCAUCAUUCUAAAAAUGCUCAAGAACUACAGCUUUAGAGAGAGCUGAAUAGAGUUUCCAGAUCGGGUUCACAAAAUACACUUAGCGCAAAUAACACCAACAGAUAGUCAAACAUAUUAGAAAUUUCCAAGUUGGGUGCAAAUUUUGAUUUCUCCGCCUUUAUCGGUAUCAAUGUAUGCAGUUACAAGUACUAGCAAGUAUAGCACCCAAUUUUGCGCUUUGAUCAGGCAGUAAAGCAUCCAAGAUGGCAGGGAAACAGCGAGUCUAGAGUAAGCUCAAGCUCAUUCCUUCUCGCUUCUUGUGUUUCUUCUUCAUAGUUGCCACUGUUUAAAGUAUGACAAAAGCAUUAAUGCAAUUGAAAAUCCGCCAAAAAGCACCAUAUGUGCAAGACUGCAAGUUGCAACAGCAACAAAUAUGCAGAAUGGACAAGUUAAACUUAAGCUAAUUACGAAAGUGGCUUCUAAUUCUAAUGCGUCCAAAACCUCGCAGUUUGAGUUUUGUUGUCGGAUACGAGUGCAAAUCGUCUGGGCACUGAAUUCUGCAUUCAAACUUUAUACUUUGUGGAUACCUAAUAUAGUUAUAAUAACAUAUGUGGUUGAACUUGCCCCUAUAGAUUUCCUUAGUUCUCCUCUCUUAUCCACAAUAUAAGAUCUGAAGGGCUAGGAUCAAAUGAAAUUUGGAUUACCUGACAUUGAUGCAAGGAGGGAGUGGCUCUGGAAUCAGGUACGGAGUUGAACUCGGGCCUUGAUUUUGCUGCUCCCACUGUGCCUGCUGUGCCAUUAACUUCUCUUUCUCCUUUAUCUAUUAGAGAGAGGCCAAAGGAAGUUAAAGAAGCAAAACAACCUUGAUUCGUAAAUAAGCUAGCCAACAUGGUGGACUGUGUGGCAAAUGUAGUUCUGGUAAAUAAUGCAGGUGCAGCAAAUUUACCAAGCAGACAAUGGAACGGCAUGAAAGAAGAGGUUAAAAUAAUCAUUUUGUUCCCAUUCUUGGGGUUAUAAUUUGUUCAAGAACAAGAGCUAUCCUAUUUCAAAGACAGGGUUGCUCUCCCACGAGAAGAAAUUAUUCGAGUUAGGCUGAAUGACUUGAGCACUAAUUAAUGAUGAUAAUGUAUUGACUAACCUUCUUUGCGAGCAUGCUGUUUUGCUGUUGAAUUGCUUUUUCCUGUCAAGGCAAACAAGGGGUAGCUGAAUGAACAUAGACUACAAAAAGAAAAAACUGAUCAAAUUGUUUCUGAAAGGAACAAUUUUCAAGAUCACUUGAAAAAGUUUUAGAGGUUUAGACACCCAUGUUUAUCUAGAAAGUUGCGGGGGUGGUUUACAACUUGAUUAACCUUUGGCUCAGGGUUUAGCUUCUGAUAUAUAUAUGUUCCUGAACAAAUGAUGCUGCAAAGUUUGCAGAUACCGUUGAGCAUUUCCUUUUUUCCAGUCAAAUGUCACACAACAGCUAAAAUUUAAGAAAAAUGAAACCAGAAACCCAGGCAACAGAUGCUACAGUGCUAUAAUAACAACUACCAUAUGAAUAUAGCUUCAGAAAACUCAGUUAUCAGAUGAUGUAGGACUAGUUUUGGACUUUUGGGUACCUAUUGUGCACCCGGAACUGUACUCGAGUAAUGUAAUCCCAAAGUCAUCAAAGAAGAUGGUAGUCCAUUUUUGUUGCUUGGGCGUUUGUGUGAUUAAUAAAUGGUAGUCCACUUUUGUUGUUAAGGUGUUUGUGUGAUUAAUUGCAGGUAUAACUUGGCAAGCUCAAGAGCAAUACAUGAUUAUCACGAUGAACAAUUACACCUAAAGAGGGUUGAAUGCAAGUUUACAUCCUAAAGAAGCUGAUCACCUUUCUCUGCAGCUCAGAGAUUGACUCGUACAUGAGUUGGUUCUGUCAGGAAACGGACAUUUAAGGGUCAGGUAAACGAAGUAAAUUACUCAAAAAAGUUGAGUACUUAGCCCACCAUGGACGGAAAUUUACAAAACACCUAGAACACAAGAGCUUACCUUUCUAGUUCGGAUUUGUUUCAGAGCCGUGUCAAGCUGGUGCUCCAAAUUCUGGAGGUCUUUCGAGCUCAUUGCAUCAAGGUCCUCACCCAUGUAAUGCCUGAUGGAGCAAGAAAGAAAACUUCAAAUACUCAAAAGAAAGAAAGAAGAAUCAACCUUUAUACUUAACCAGUAGCAUAUAUAUAUAUAUGGAAGGCCACGUCCAGGCCAUGUCUUUCACCUAUGAUUUCUUUGCAACAGCUCCAUCUUGGCCUUGAGUUUGGUGUAUUCCAGAGUCCAAUCUCCCUGCACAAUUCAAGCAUGCAACUCACGUAAUUUUUUUUGGGUUUUGGGAAAUUCUCAUGUCAAAUGAUCAAUCAGAGAUGGCUAUAUAUAUACAUAUACAUCUCUGUGACUAGGCAACAUGCAUGAAAUACCACAAAAAGAAAAAGCAUGAUCAUGCAUGCCGUUCUAGGAUAUAUACAUAUAUAUAUAUAUAUAUAUAUGUGUGUGUACCUCGGAUUCUAGAUCAUUUGCAACUAAUCGCCUUUCUGCAUAUGAAUAUCUUUCAUACCUUUCCAGGAUAUUCUCCAUGCUGUUGCAUUAAUUAGCAAACUCAAAAAGUGAAUUUCAACGCAAUACUACUGUAUAAUCUUUCAGAGUAAUUAAUUUACACCGAAAUCGUAGGCAUAAAAUGUCACAAUCUAUAACUUCAUAUUGAGAUGCAAUAGCUUUGUAAUGCUUCAUUGAUCUUCACCACCAGACUUGCUAUAGCUAUUUGAUAAACUAUAUAUUCCUAAGUAUUAUAAUACAUGAAAUUAAUGGCGUUCACCCAAUAACACUUUCGCAUAUUUGUAUCUUCUUGAUCCUCAUCAUAGAGACAAUCAUGAAAGUGCCAAACCAGUUUAGGUCAUUCCUGUGUUUAAUCAAGAUUGCUCUGUCCUUUAUUCAAAAUCAUUGUCUUAACCCUUCUUAGAUUAGAUUUUUUUUUUUUUUUUAAAUUUUGGGUCAAAAGCUGCAGGAUUUCAUUAGAUAUAAACAAUAAUUACGAUUAUCGACUGUGCUAUUAGAGCCCCUACUGUGCCAAGCACAUCGAUAAACUAUCCAUCCACUUUAUACAUCAUGUUUCAGCUUAGCAGCACAGUGGUAACUAAGUAACCUGCUACUGUGCCAGGCACUUCUUAGUACAAUGGUUCAAUUCGUUGUGUGUAUUAUUAUUAUCUUACAUCAUUAUCAUUCGUACUUCUCCCUUCCGCCUCUUCUACUAUUAUUUACCUUUUGAUUAAAAAAAGAUGUUGACAAUUCAUAUUCAAAGUCCUCUAUUACCUGGAAAUAUUUUAUUCUACUUAAUUAGCCAUCAUAUAUAUGCCCUUGCCAAAAAAAUUGAAAGAAAACAUUAUACAUAAGGUCAAAAUUAAACAUGACGUUAUUUUAUUCUAGUGCUUUAUUGCUGAGCUGCUGCAAAGUAAAUUGUAAUGCAAACGACUUAACAAGUAAACAAAUUGAAAUAGGAUAAGCAAUACUCAUCCACGUAGCUAGGCAGCAUUUUUUUAUCCACAUAUUUCAAGUAAAUUUCAGAUUCAUGAUUUGAGCAAAAAUUUACAUGAAGGAAGGAAACGAUUUGAAGUGGCAAGAAAGGAUACAUGAAGUCAAAAUGUACGUUCAUGCAAUUAAUACUUUAGAAUUAGCUAAAAGAUGAGUUUGAAAAUUAGAAAAUCUAGGUCUGGGGUGACCUCAUGCUCGCUAGACUAUGCAGUAAAAGCAUACUUGAUCAGGAUUGGCAUAACGCGAGUCUAUUUCAAAAAAGCAAAUUUGAGGGUGGGAAUUGAAGAGAAGAUGAGAGAAGCAGUAAUAGUUCAACAUAAUCUUACCUGAAAUAACAUAAGCAAAGAUGUUUAGAAUGUGAUAUCUUCUUUCCCUUUUAUAUCAUUGCAGUAACACAAAUAUUUUUACAGGUUAGAUAUGCUAGCUAGGGUAAAAAGCCUAAAAAAUUGAAGAGAUGAUCAUUGUCGAUCUAUAUUAAAUGCCAUAGAUCGCGCGGGUUCCAUCCAAUACAACAAGACGGAAAUAAAUAUUGACAACAAUGAAGAUGUGCAUGGUCUAGCUUAGAACUUAAUUUGGCGAAAAGGGAACUUAGAUAACUGCAAAACACAUAUUGGAUCCUGACCAUAAAUUCUUGAUUUUGUUACCUUUUUCUCAUCUUCUUUCCUGCUGAUACAUAGAUGUCUAACGAUAUAUAAUUUCUUUCUCAAGUUGGGAAGUUGGCGAAUUAAUUUUCUUGUCGAUCUUCUAGUUUUUCUAACUAGUUAAAAGAAUGAAAUACAAAAAAAAAAAAAAGAAUCGGAAUAACAAUAGCAUAGCAUAAAUUGAGAAACCUCGUUUGAUCUUGCAGUGCUAGCUGGUGUAGUUAAUGGAUCUGAUUUUAAUUCGUGACAUCUUGAAUCAAGAAUCUGAAAUCCACUGCUAAUAUUUUUUUUUUUUGCAAGUACAAAUUGAAGCUUUCAACUUGACAUGGAUAGCAUUAAAUCCUCCAAGUAUAUAUAGACCACCAGGCUUUAACAAGAUUAAAUCUAGCUAUCACUUGCAAACAUGAAGUCCAGCUUAGACUUGGAGGUUGUAUUCUGACUGAACUAAUUAUAUCCAACGAAGACCCUGAAGAUAUUUGCAUCAAGAAGGGUGCAUGGUAAAGCCAGAUGCUAUGUAACAUAGAGAAGAUUAUGCUGAAGGAAGACGGGAUGCUACGCAAACGGUUCAAAACUUAGCAACCGUCAUGGUUUUGACCUCAUCAGAAAACAGAAGGAUGCCAACACGAUUUAAGAAGAGGGGGCAAAAGGAACAACAACAAGCCUUAUUUAAUGUUUUCUGAAAGAAGUUUGAAAAAAAAAACCCUUUUGAACCUCUUUCUAAAUGGGGGUGAAAAUGAAGAAUUCAUUAUUGCAACAAAUUUUAGUCCAUGAGAUAACUUAGCAGAUCAAAGGUACGUAGAUACCUAGAAUCAGAAGAGUAUUCAAAGAGCUUCCCUUUGUGAGAGAAGACGAUCAAAGCCACUUCAGCAUCACAAAGUACUGAUAUUUCAUGAGCUUUCUUCAACAAUCCAGCUCUUCUCUUUGAAAAUGUCACUUGCCUGUUAAUCUUGUUCUCUAUUCUCUUCAACUGUACCUUUCCUCUCCCCAUGAUUUCUCCUCUCUCUCUUUUCUUCUCCCCAGAAGAAAACAAACGACCCUCUUCACACAGGAUCUAAAAAAGGAAACCCUCUAACUCCAAUUUAUCAUCCCGUGCCCCUAGAUUCUAAAAUCACGACACAACAAAAAAGGGGAAUAUAAAUAUAUAUAUAUAUAUAUAUAUAUCCUUGUAUUGCUUCUUUAUAAUCUGCAGGUGUAAAGAGGGGGAUAUUUUAGGAAAUCACUGGUGGGUUCUGUGGUGCUCCAACUUUCUUGUUGUCUCUAUUUGGUGAAAUAUAUUUUAUGAUAACAUCUUGUCUGAAAAAGCAUGUACAGAUUUGUGAUGAGAUGUGAAACCAUUACAGCUAAAGGGAUCCUGGGGAAGUUAAAACCAGGUGGUUUUUAAGAAUGUGCUGUCGAGCUAGGAUUUGUUUAAGCUACUGUAUAUUCGUUGGAGUCUGGUGGAUAUGAAGUUCACAGGUUUUUAACCAAAAUUUGGUACAAUUAGAAGUGUACGGAUCCGGAAUAUGGGUAGAUCAGUGUCAUUUCUUUGAAACUGUUGACGGCGGCCACGGCCAUGUGAUGAAGGGACUGUUCUGAAUUUGGCCCAGCAGAUUUUUAGUAUAGUUGGAUUUAUCCAUCCUAUAUUAAUAGUGUAUAUAUUAGCGGGUUGUACAUAUUAUAUGUGCAAAAUUGAAGUUCAAAUUCAAAUUAUAAUGUGACAUACAUCCUGACUCGCUAGUAAAUACUAUAAAGAAAGAAAUUCAAAUUCCGUUCAAGUGAUUGUGCUCAUAGCUGAAAUCAUUAAAAAAUAAUAAAGGAAAGACAAAAGUAAAAACAUGUUAUAAGCUAGGUUUUUAUUUUUUACCAAAAUAUUUAAUCUAAAAAACUUUUUGUCUAUCUUAAAACACUCUCUAAUUUUUUUGAUUUUUUUUAUAUGCCCAUUUUGUGGAAUUCACCUCGAAGAAUAUACGUAGAAUCAUCGUCUCAUCACUUUCUCUACCUCAGCUGAGUGAUGCUUCGCUCAAGAUAACGUAUUCUCCACAUUAAUUUAGUCAUGACUUUGGGAAAAGCACUUCCAAAUAUUCUCCAACGGGACAAGCAAACAUUUUCUACCACAGCGGUAAACUUAUUGGGUAUUAUUCCUUUCCAACGGCCUCGAAAGUUGGCAAUCUAAUUCUAUCCCAUCUCAUUCAUCCUGCCCGCCUCUCUACUCGGUCUACCCUGAAAAGGUCGGACAGAACAUUGAGCGCCCGCGCAAUUGGAGCCAUUGGACCAAUAUGCAAUAGGGAUAAUUAAUUACUGAAAUCUUCCUUGAGAUUUUUUAUGGCAUCUUUGUUUGGAUUUUAGUUUUUCAAGAAAAAAGUUUUAUAUUUUUUAAAUAUAUUUCUCAAUUACUUUUUUACUUUAUAUACACAGGCACAUAAAUACAUAUAUAUUUAUAUAUAUAUAUCAAAUUGUUACGAUAAAUUUUUCUAUAAAAACUCUAAAAAAAUAGCAAUCCAAAUGAAUAUUUUCAAAACUUAAAAAAAAAUCACUGAUUUUUUUCUACUUAUAACCUUUUGUAAUAUAUUGUUAACCAUUUCCAGUGUAUAAAAUUGAAAAAAUCAUUUUUGGAAAAGGAGACAAUUAUUCCAAAGUAGCUCUUCAAAUUAUUUAUACUAGUUUUAUGUAUCCUAUAUAAUCUUAAAUAUUUCUUCUUAUCUAGACCAAUAACACGAAAAUUGUAGAGGGUCUCCCAACCCCGUUAACAAUUUGUAAAUUUUUAUUGAAGAACCCACUUCAACACGUUUUCAAAUUAAGUGUCUGUUAUUUCAAUUAAGAGAUUAUAAGAAAUGGCAAAGUGGUUUAAUUUGUUACAAUCCACCCACAGAAUCUCUAUGUUUUGAAACCUCAAUCUUAGUCACUAAAACACUAAAAAACGCGAAAUAAUGAUAUGUCCAAUAUACUGGAAAAGAUCAUUCAAACACCUAUUCGUCCCAACUGACCGAAUUGGUAAAACUAUUUAAGACGAAAGAUGAAAUUUACUGAAUCGAGGAUAGAGUAUUAUUUGAAAUAAUUACUGUAGUAUUUUUUGUGAUGUGAUGUAUGCGAGAUAAAAAGGUGAUUGAAAAUAUAAAAAUGUGAGUUAAAAAAUGUGUUUAUAAUGCAAGCGAAAUAUUAUCUGGAAUAAUUUUACUAUCCAAACAAUAUAAUAUCAGUUCUCUUCUUUUUCUUUUGUUUCCUCAUUUUAAUUUUGCCUCUUCAAUUAUUCGCCUUCUGUACCAUUUUGUGCAGUGCAGUGCAGUACUAUAUCUUGUCGUUAUAGUUGACAUUCACUGUUUAUGAACAGUGAAAAUUUGGUCCUUUGAUGUUAACACCUUAAUCAGUAAAUUUUGUGCUGCUUCGCUUUGAGAACCUUUGACGUUAUUUACUUCGUCAUGUUUUACCUUAUCGUGCUUGAAGUUUAGAAUUGGUCAUGUCGAACCUCGAGUGAAUUGCAAAUUUGCAAUUGAUGACUUCGGAUGAAAUAGUUUUGGAUAAAAUAUUGGAGAAAAUUGGAUUCUAUUCUAUUAUAAAUACUACUUGUUAAAUAAGAACUUGAUAUGAAUAAGGCAGGCAUAGAACAAAUUAUCUCUUUUAUUUUUUUGCUGCAGAAAAUUUAUUCUGAAGCCCUCCUCUCACUGCAUUUCACCACAAAAGAUUAAUUUGGAAAACCCCUCAAAAAAAAAAAAAAGAAAAGAAAAAGAGUGAGUGAGAGAGAGAGAAGCAAGUUCCACAGCUCUGCAAAGCUGGGCCUCUCUUUCUGCUAAAUGUUUGCCGGAUCUAAAAUUGGAAAGAUUCGAACCAAGAUGGUACCAGAUGCCUGUUUGCUUUUCUUUCUUCCUCUUUUUUUUUUUUUUUUUUUGGGUUUAAUUAUUAGAGAGCAAGUACCAGAUGCCUAUUUGCUUUUCUUUCUUCCUCCCCUUUUUUUUUUUGUUUAAUUAUUAGAGAGCAAUGUAAUUUUUGUCCUCUCAUCUUUUCUUUUCUUUUCUUUUUCUUUUUCUUUUUUUACGUGUAAGUGGAAUGGCUCGAAUCCAAGACCUCUGCUGGUUUGACGUAAGUUUUGUUUUCAUAUUUUAGUCUUUCUUUUGUCCCAAAUAUCUUACUUUAGUUCUAACUGCAUCCUCUGUUUAUGGCAUGUUUCCUAUUAACAAAAGCAUCAACUUACUCCUUUUUAUUACUUUAAAAAGGUAAUGACAACCACUAUUUUGUACCUAUUUUAUAGUAUGUGUUCUAUGCAAUUUCAUCCCACAAUAAUUGUCUUACAAAAAGUAGAAAAGUCUAUUUCGGAUUGCAGUGAUUUUGCUAAAAAAAUAAAUAAAUUUAAAAAGAGUACUUCCAUCAGACGAACACUUUCUUUUUCCAUUUUUUUUUAUUACCAAAAGAAAGAGAGAGAGAUAGAUAAAACAUUUGAAAAAAAAAAAAAAGGAAUUAUAGCUACUAUAUGUUCCCCUAGUCCCUACAAAAGGGCUGGCCUGAUUGCACAUUUUGUUUUGCGUCAUACAAUCUUUGUCCAAGCAAAUUUCAGUUCAAUAAAGAUAGCCAUUCCCCACAAGAUUAUAGAUCCCAUCUUAUUACAUUCCAAGUCUUCGGAAAAAAAAAAAAGAAAAAGAAAAAGAAAAAGAAAGAAAGACAUUCCAUGUCUUUAUCUAUCCUUGAAAACUGUAGAGUUGGCAAUAUGUUAAUGCUGCUAUGGUACGUACAUUACUCCAACAGGAUCCACUUAUGCCUCCUGUUGGCCCAAGAACAUAAUUUAUUUUUAUCUUCCCAUUUCAAUGGAAAAUACAGCAAAAUUAGGAACCUGUGUACCACACGUAUUAAUUUGUUGGCCUUCCAAUUCAAAUUGUGUUUAAUUGCUACAUAUAUAUAUAUAUAUAUAUUCUCAAAGCAUCCAUCCUGGUAGGAUUCCACUGGGAUUUUGUGUUGGCUCUGCCUCAGCAUCGGCUACCACCAUGUUGUAGCUGCAAUGGAGAAGUACAUGAAUAUAUGCAAAAGCUAUAAUCUACUGAUCAACUUUCCCCUUCGCAGACCAAAAAUUAUCCUAACAAAAGUAGAAUUUUUUUUCCCCCCACAUAACAAGUUACAUGCAUGCAAAGCAAGGAUAAAUCUCCAAAGUUUUUUUUAUGGAACAACAUAUAGCAACAUACUUCAUGAUGGAGCUGUUGCAUUCAAGGGGCUGGAAGAAUCCCUCAGGAUGAAUUGUCUGAGAUCUAUGUCGUAAAUUAUGCUCCUCUGAGACGUCCCAUGAUAACUGAAAUGCUGCAGUGGUUUCUUCUAACUGCUAUGAUGAUUUUCAUGCACAUUCUUAGAUGAUUGUAUCAGCAACAACUAAUGCGAAAUAUCAUGAGCAUCAAAACUUUAAAAAUAUAGCCCAAAUUUAAUAGAAACUUUAGGCUACCUUGUUCCUCAAGGCCUUGUUUACUUCCAUCAGUGAUUUUUCCUGGGCAAUCAAAUAGUUGGCUUGGUCAGUCAAACGUUAAACAGCUGGUUGGCAAGGUUAAUAAUACGUUACCUUUUGCUGCAGAUCUGAGAGUUGAUCCAGCAUAUGCUGAGUCUGCAACAUUUUAGAGCCACUAAUUAGACAUGAUAUCUUUUUCUUUUCUUUUUUUUUUGUGGAAAGCAAUACUCACUGAAAGUGACAAUUAAUAUAUAAGCUUGAGCAGCAAAAUAGAUCGAUGGCUUUACACUUGGACAUGAAGAUAGAAAGAUGAUCCAAUCUUACAAGUGACCUUAUCUAUUAAUCUCCCAAAGAAUAAUGCUUCACUUAAAUGGGAAAAGAAUAGUUUAGCAAGAAACUCUACGUAGCUGUCAAAUUCUAUAAGCAUCUUAAUUAACUUCUUAUAAAGUACAUCAUGAAAGAAAACUACAAGCUCCCUGGCUGCAACUUUGACCUUAUAAUAUGAAAAUGUAAUAACUAAUUAGCACAUUUUUGUCGUGUCAUGUAGAACUAUCUUUCACUAGUUUUAAGUCUUCAUUCAGCGAAUUGGAGGAGGGCGCGUUUUCAUCAAAUUAAAGAGUUGCAUACCUUUGUGGACCUAAUUUGCCGCAAAGAUGCAUCAAGCUGACGCUCGAGCUGAUCGAGCUGCUUUGCACCCAGCUGAGCCAAGUCUUCCCCCAGAAGAUGCCUAAAUGAAUACGAAUAGCAGCAGCAUCAGCGAAAAAUUACCAUAGGAAUUGUCCAAAGAGCUAAAGCAGUACAAGUUAAAGCUUAGAAGUUAGAACACCAAAAUUCUCGGUGACAUCCAGGUACAAUCAGGCGAUGAGGACGCAGAGAUGGAUGUGCUAGCUGCACUAAUCGUACGGCAGGGCUGCUUCAACAACCCUUGUUGUUAGGGAAAAAAACAAAUGACUCUAGUCCCUCUACUAAAAGGCCUAAAAGAGAAAAGAAAAGUUGAAGGCAUUAGUGCUUUGAUUGAUCGAUCCAGGCCUCACAAGUUGAGUCGUAUCCAGAUCAAAUAGCUCCGUACGUAUAAUUCUUCCAGCAUUUGGUGUGAGGUCCCAUCUCUGGGCUCGGCGUGCGUGAUGGAUCCAUGAAACAGUACACUAGAUAGUAAUUAAUCUCAGGCUACAAGUCAAGCUACUCAAGAUUCUAAUGGCUUGCUCUCAUUGCUCUAUGCCCACAGACAACUUAAUUAAUCAUUUUAAGUGCAUUAGUCGUCAGAAAAUCAUUGCAAGCCUGUUGUUGAAGUUCUUGUUACCUCUGAGAUUGUUGUAAUACCUCCACUUUUGCUUUAAGCUUCAGAUACUCCUGGUAGUCACCCUGUUUCAGGAAAACCAUAGUCAAUUUAAGGGAUCAAGAAAACAGUCGCUCAGGUGCAAACUAAUUAUGCUGUAGCGAUGGAUUUAUUAAUACGCACACAUAGACUUGUUUAGGACUUUGGAGAAAAAGGGAUCUUUUUGACCCUCUAGGGAGGGUUAAUUAGCCACUAGGUCAUAAAAAAAAUCGCAACGGAUCUUCUGUCCCACAUUCUGUGCCACUUUUUAUUCUGUUGCUAUUUUUCCUGUAUAAACAUCAUGUUUUAGUUCGUUUUUGUUUUUUUUAAGAUCCACGUGAUAUCUUUCCAACUUGUGUGUGCGUGCGCGUGCGUGCAUAUCUGCCCGUUGUUGGAGGGGCUGAUAUAUAUAUAUAUGUCCCUGGUUAAGGAAGGAGUCCUAUAGUGCAUUAACAACAAAGUUACCUGUGGAUCCUUGGAGGAUUGGUUCAUUCCAGCAUCAGCAUAGCUGCAUCUGUGAUACCUCUCCAGCGUUUUGGACAUACUACAGGAGAAUUAGGAAAGGUGAAGUUAACACCAGGAGUACUAAAAGUUUCAAUUUGUCCUCAUCUUACGGUAGGACCAAGAUGAGGAAAUGGCUGCACUUAAAUGAAAUUCAUGAGGUUUUGAUUUGGUGCAAGUGUGUCGGGUUAAAUAUACUUGUUUGUUAAUUAUAAUGUUUGAUAUAUAUACACUUAUAUAACUUAUUAUACUUUUCGACAACAUUUUAUAUAUAUAUAUAUAUAUAUAUAUAUAUAUAUAUAUAUAUAUGAACAAAAUUCGAACUUUUAUACACGAAAAGGAUGAAAUCCGUACGUGUAACAAAUAGUAAUAUAAGCAUCACCAAACCAAAACAUGUACCCUAUGCAAUAACUGUACGCUAAGGAAGGACACAUUACGCAACCGUAACUACAGCCCAUAUUCGUACAUAAAAAUAAUCAGAAGCACAGAACUUUUCAGCUUCUUUUUUGAAGGUAAUCAAACAACAUUUGCUAACAUGUCCGUUUGCGUAUAAGGGUUCAAAAGUAGUCAUUUAUUUAGUACAAUCCAUGGACAGAAAAUAUCUUCUAAAAGAAUAUUAAAAUAGUUAAAAAAAAAAAGAAGAAAAUAUUAGAAGGAAGAAGGAAAAUAAAAUAUAGUCGAAGUGAUCUCCGGGGAAACAUGAUUGAGGGUUAAAUUGUGAUGAUCGAUCGAUCACCCUUGAGGAAAUUGGAAUUAUUGCAUUAAUUUGGUGGUUGAACUUCACUUCACUUCAUAUAUAUACAAAGCUAAUUAAUUUAGUGGGAAUCAGAUUUUAUCCAAAGAGUCUCUAGGGUUAACAUGUAUUGCUAUGUCCAAUUGUCCGUCCACCACAAUUAACCCUAUUCUACCGCCACAAACAAUGGCUAAAGUAACUUCUCUCAAUAAUAUCAUGGGGCUUUAAUUCGCAUCAAAAGUCUGUUUCAAAAUUUUAACUCAUCUUUUACUUUGCAAAAGGGAUUGAUCGAUCACCAAAAACUAUAAAAGAUAUGACUUGAUCACAGAAUGCAGAAGACUCUACUUUACUGUCCAGCACAUUCAAGUAAAACCAUCACAUCAAAAGUGUGUUUCAAAUUUUUAACUUGUCUUCUUUACUCUUUUUUUUUUUUUUUUCCCCUUUCCUUUUUUGGUGCUAACUUCUUAUCUUUACUUUGCAUAAAGUAAGUAUUCACCAAACUUGGGAUAUCAAAUUGCCAAACCACCUAUAUAAGAUAUCAUUUGAUCACAGAAUGUACAAUCCUGGAUUUUCAAAUAGACUAACUCCAGAUCAAGUAUAUAUAUAAGAAGCUUUAAGAUUUUUUUGCCUACACAGGAACGAUUUGAACAUGGAAAUGGGAGAAUAUAAGAGGCAGGUGUGAUUAGUAUCUAGUGUCACAAUAAGAGGGGAAAAGUACAUCCUUAAAAUAUGGAUAAUCUUGCUAAAGCACAUUAUUGUUGUUGUUUCUUCAAGAGAGAGUAACUAUUAACCGACACAUUCGACUUUCAGUUGUCAAAGAAAAUAGAUCUUGAUUUUCACAAGUUCUUUCUCAAGCUAUUUUUCACUACUCAUAAAUUAAAGAACCAAGUAUAUAUCGAAAGCCUAAAUAAUAGGAACACACAGUAUCAAUCGUUACAUUUCUAAGUCUAUGAAUGACAAACGUAAUUGCAUGCGCUAAGACUAAGUUGAAUUUACCAUAUAGUGCAUGGAGAUGUGAAACGAUUCAUGAAUGAUUUAUAUAUUUGGGAUGCAACAAUAAGUAUUCAAGAAUUUAGACCCUUGCCUUGAAUGUGCUCAAAGAAAGCACCUAUAUUCUGAAUCAGGAUCAAGGUACCAAUGUUAGCUAGGAUUAAAGGGUAAAGGGACUAAGUAAAAAAUGAAAGCAAACAGUAUAAAGUUCAUAGUUGAACAACACAUGCAUAAUAUGAAAAUACCAUAUAAAGUGAUUGCAACUCAAGCAGAUUACUAGACGAAGGAAAUUAUAAUGAACAACUUUACGUUCGACUGUGUGGAUUAACUAAAAACAUGAUACUACACAUUUGAAUGAAAACGCUUUAUGUUGAUCAUAUGCAAGGAGUAAAAGGCACCUCUAGCAGAACGACACGUUUGAUUGAUGUGAAUUAAAUGCAGACAACCAAGGAAUUGCAGCUUUGGAAAAAGCAACUCGAUUCAUGGCCAACAAAAACAACAUUUCUUCCUGAAAAGUUUUUAUUUUUAUUGUUUUGGGGUUUGAAGAGCUGCAUGAUCAGAACAUAAUAUCGAUGAUUGAGUAUUCCGAUGAAAGGAACAAACCACAAGACCACAUAUGCAUAAAACUAAGUGUGAAUCUUAUGAUGGUGACACGAGACAUUUAUCAAAUAUGAAGGUAGUCGUAGCAAGAGAAAGCAAUAAUUUCAACAUGGUUGUUCUCAGUGGUCAAGCGACACAUGUUAUAACUCCAUUCGAACUCAUGAACAUGAUACCUAAAUCUAUGCACAAAGCACCACAAACUUGCAGCCUUGCAGCCAAAAAGCAAGCCUGAGUAUUGUCUGGAUGCAUCCCAAUGCAAUGAAGAAAAUGAUAUGCACAUCAAUUCUUGAGUUGGUAAAGUUCAACCAGAAGUAGGUUCAUCAUGCAGUGAUUUAUUUUCCUAAUCAGAUGAUCCGCGCUACUAAUAUUAUGACAACGAUCUAUGCUUUUCUAUAUCAUAUUUGGGCAAAUUCUCGAUUGAUCUUGUCAUCGGCCUGUUGGUGGGGCGACUUUAUCAACAAUUUGAGUUAAAAAUCAAGAUUUUAACUUGCAUCAGCUGGCACCUGGAUUUCUUAAGAGUACCCCUUUAAGUACACUGACAAAAUACUUCAUAAACUCCCAGUUCCAGACUAGAUCUCAAACCUGAUUAUGGGAGGUCAAAAUUCAGAUCCAGAAAUCACGAUAACUAUAAAGCAACAAACUGCACUCUAGCGGCAUAUCAAAUUCUGAUAACUUGUCCGCACAAAUCUAGUACUAAAAAAUGCACUCAAACUACUCUCUCCACCGUCACCACCACCACCACCAACAAACCCAACCCCCCCCCCCCCCCAAACACAAAAGAAAAAAUUAAUAAAGGCAAUUCCCUUGCUUGAUUUCCCACAAGUUCAAGCCAAAUAAUCACACAACAUAGUACAAAAAACACACACAUACAUGGUGUGAGUGUAUGUGGAAAUUACAAGUUACCUAGAGCUGCUGCAGAACUCAUAGAGUUUGCCACGAUUGGAGAAUACGAUGAGAGCAACCUCAGCAUCACAUAGGAUGGAGAGUUCAUAGGCCUUCUUCAGCAGACCAUUCCUUCUUUUUGCAAAGGUUACCUGUCUAUUUAUCUUGUUCUCUAUUCUCUUCAGCUCCACUUUACCCCUUCCCAUUAUCCUGUUUUGUGUUAAUUUAUGUAACGUAUCUGCAACACCGUAUCAAAAACCAACAGAUAAUACUCAGAAAAGAAUUACAAUCAUUUUUUCUUCACAAAAAAAAGUGUUAUGGUUCUAUAAAAAUCUUAACAAAAACAAGCAAACAUGUAACAAAAUGCCACCAAGAUUGGAUUUUUAUGGGGAAAUAAGGAAAACCACAUAUAUAUGGACAAGUACACUGCCAAACCGGUUGUCUCUUUUUCUCUUUUAGGGCAGGAAGAGUUACUCUUUUCUGGGAUAGGUCUUAUGUUUCUUGCUGCUAGUAAGAGGGGAAAAGAAAAGUAUUUUUCUAUAUGUGCAUUCCAUACAUCUAUGAGUCUAUAGACUGUAUAAUUCAUACGUAGAUAGACAUAGAUGGUAAAAGAGAGUUAGGUACUUUUGUUAUCGCAGUUGGCUUUAGAAGCUUGCUUAUGGAAUGUGGAAGUUGGAACUGAUGCUUUCCUGGCAAUGAAGAUAAGAGUCCCAGAGAGGAACCACACGAAAACAAAAGAAAAAAAUCUGCCCUAUAAGAGAAACACAGUACUUGUACUGUUAUGUCAUUCUUAUAGAUUUCUUGAUUUGUUUUCCUUGUGUAUCAUGCUUCACCUUGAAUGUUACCUCUCGACUCUUGUAGUCAAAUUGAAAAUCAUGGUCCUGUAAGAAGAAAGUUAUGGACUCCUGAUAAAUGUUUGGAAGAUAUUUCUAGAUAUGCGGUACUUCAAGGUAUAAAAAUUUUCGAUAUCUGUUUUUCUCAAUUUUAUGAUAGAUUCUUCGCACUCAUGUUUUCAGACACUGAACUUUUUCCGGAACAAUAUCUCCACCUAAACUAAAAAGGAUCCAUGUUGAGUUUUAGACCACAAUUUUUUUUUUAUUUUGGAGAGAUGGAAAUGGAAAUUGUAAUAAAAGAGGCAAUUAGAAAAAAAUAUUAAAUUACAUCUUCAAUACUAACUUGAACCCUGAUCAGUGGAAAAUGAGUACUUCAAUAUCUUGAUUAACAUAUUUUGGUAUUACACAUCCUUUAAUAUCUUUUGUUGGGCAACCAACAAGAAAAAUGCCGAAGAUUUACAUACAUUAUGGUUCUACUAGCAUCGUUACAGAUAAUCUUUUUCAACUUCGAUUACGUCUAUGAAUAGUUUUUUUCCCCAUUUCUGUGUCUCUCUAUUGGAUAUGGAUUACUUAUAAUAUGUAUAUAUGUAUAUGUAUAUGUAUAUGUAUAUAUUUUUUUGUGCAUGUUUUUCAAUUAUUUUAUCUCACAUAUAUGACAUUAUUAGAAAAUGUUACUGUCAAUAACACAAAUAAAUAAAAUUUUGAAUCCAAAAUCGGAGCAUUUUUUUCUUUUCAAUAUUGUACUAUUGGACCUUCCCUCAUUCCUUUUAUUGGAUAUAAUGACGAGAAUCGGGGUUUAACAAGUUUAAACACAAAACGUGAAGUCAUUGCCCUUUUUCAGUAGCUCGACAAAUACAAUGAAAGUGUUUGGAUUAUAUAUUAUAUUCACCUUAUUUACAUGUACUGACUUUCUUAUAUUAUCAAUACAUUUUUCAAUCAUAUUUUUAUCUCACAUACAUCAUAUCAAAAGAGUAUUACAGUAUUUUUUCACAAAAUUAUCUCAAACAAUUUACGAUCCAAACUUACAACUCUAUUGGAACAAUAAGCAGCUCUACUAGAUUCAGGGUUCUUCCGAACGCAAAUACAAGAAAAGGUCGGUCUUUAUACCGAUGUGGAUAAGAUCCUUUUUAUCAUUAUUUCCUAUCCAACAAAUACACAAAGUAAGUAUUUUUAGUUUUUACCAAAAUUAAAUGUCUUUUUCCUUUUUUUUUGUUCGGAUGAAAUUUUGUUCCGUGGUUUAUGCCUUGCGUGUAGAGGACAAGGGCAGGGACGAUCAUCCUGAAUAGUUAAUGGUCAUGAUUUGAUCAAAAAAUUUUAUGCGAUCUAAAUCACAAGUUAUGCAUUAAUUUUAACACCGUAUGUGUGAUCGACAAAAUUUUAUACUAAACUUAUAUGUUAUGCAAAUAAAAUUACUCUAUGUGUAACUAAAAUUACGCAUUAUUAAAAAUGAUCAAAAUGGCGGGGGACGGUUGCAGCCUCUUGUCCGCGUGUGGACGAUAUUGCAGCGUGCUUACUACAAAAAAAUUGACGGGUGGACGUCAAGUUCCAACCUUAAAAGUUUAAAACUGUCAAUCAUUUUUCGCAGGAAACGUGUCGAACAUUGAAUGGGGCAUCCCCGAGUUCCAACCACAGUCAGAGUACUUUUGUUCUCUUGGACGGUUAUGCCCCUGGAUGAUCCACUUAUUGCUGAAUCAGGAUUCCAACAUCUUUUUAUUUAUUUAGUAGUACAACAACAGCAAACUUUUUUCAAUGAAUGGGUUUCCGCGGAGAGAUGAAUAAAAGGAUGGAGUAAUAAUAAUGGAGUACUUUUGUUCUCAUUCAACCGAUUAAAUACAUGCACAUAGGAAACUUUGUCUGACAAGGUUUGGUUAAGGGUAAAAAAUACCUAUAAGUUCAAAUUUGAAAAAUUUGUGGUUGGAAAAAAUGGAAAAUCAUUUGAAACACCCCUCACAUUUCGUCAAAUAAAUUUUUUAUUCCUUCACUUUUAAAAUAAUAACUUUAUGUUCUUUACAAAAUCAAGUCAAUAAAAUUUAGUUCCAAUCUAGAUUUUUGGCUGCUUUUUACUCUGAAUUUGUCAAGUCCAUUGCUUUUUACACCCAAUACAAAAUCAAAUCGAUAUAAUUUAGUCCCAAUCUAGGUUUUCAACUGCUUUUUACACUGAAUUCAUUAUGUGACAUAAGUAACAAAGGUUAGUUUCCAUUUGUAGUUAAACAAAUGACACAAUUUAUUUUUACCUCUAAAAAAUGAGGAUCUGACCUGAACUGUAUUCAUCUGAUCCUCUAAAAAAAUGGGAUCUAAUCCAAUUCACAUUCAUUUUUUGCCACUAAAUAAGUGAAAUCUUACCUUUUUAUACUUAAAAAAAUGCAAGCCACAUAGUGAUUUCAGGAUAAAAAGUGAUAUAAAACUUGGACUAGGACUAAAUUUUGCUAAUUUGAAUUUGUAAGGGACACAAAAUUAACAUUUUAAAAAUGAAGGAUAAAAAAAUUUAUUUAUCGAAUUGUGAAGGAUAUUUCGAACGAUUUUCUUUGGAAAAACUAAUGAAGCAAAAGAUCAAAUAAUGAAAGGUCUUCCAAUAAACUUCAAGACAAAAACAACAAAACAUGGUACAUCAAUGCCUGGGUCAUUUGUGUUCUGUGGGCACCUUUUAAGUUUUCAUGCUGAUAACGGCAGUAAACUACUUGCUAUAAAAGGAAAAAUAAUAAACAAAGGUGUAUACGACUCUAAAAUUACAAAAUAAGAAGUGGGUCUGACGUUAUAUUUUGCAAAAAAUUUAGAUUUAUGGGUCGAGUGAUUACGUACGUUAAAAUUUUUUUUUUCUCUUUUUUAAGUAUGCUAAUAUGAGGGGUGAUCGAGUGAUGAUAUAUAUAUAUUUUUUACUGUACCUUUAGGGCACAAAAUAGGAAAGAAACCGCUGUUGAUGGAUUAUCAUCUGGUUACAGAUACAGAUUUUAGAUACGACUGUAAACUUGCCCUACCUUUUCAUCUUUUUGCAAUGUUUAUUUGCUAAUUAAAACUUGUCUUGUAAAUACUAGCUACUUGUCAAACGUACGUAAAUGCUAUUAAAAUGAUGUCAAACCUAAUUAAGCACUUGUCCAAUCCAACCUUUCCCUAAGUACUUGUGAAACCCAUAUUUGCUUUUGUAACCCUGUUACACUCCCACAACCUACAUGUGAAAGGGCCCUUCAGAUAUUCCUUCUUAACAUGAUCAUCACUUAAUGGUUAAUAGAGUACCAGGCAUAUAUUUAGAUUUUAGGCUGAGUUAGGCUUUCUGAUAAUAUACUCUUGUUCGUUGAGCAAUUCCACAGAUUAGCACGGCUCCUUUCUCACUAAAUGCCAGAUUUGAUAGUUGAAUAGGACAAGGCUGUUAAUAAUAACAUUAAUGCAUGUAAUAGAAUUGGUCCGACAUCCUUAGAGUUAGGUAAUGGUAUGCCAUUAUCUUCUUCUUUUUUUUUUUUUCUCUAUGAAUAAUUGUGAAUAUGACAGCAUGUAUGUAGCUAGCUAGGCAAUCAAAUACGUUUUUGACUCUCAAGUUUAUGCUGUAUUGCUGGCAGAAUGACAGGAUGGUGAGAAUGGAAAUGACGGGACGCAGUGAGAAUGAUGUAGGAAGGAGGGUUCCUCUUUGAAUUACAAUCUUGUGAAAGAAGGCUACAUACAUCAAUUCUGUCAAUUUGGUAUGACAAAUGAAAAUGAAAUAACUAUGCUAGCUAGGGAGAUUAGUCAUGUAGGUGCAAGUUAUUUGGCUCGAUUCUGUCACUUUCAGUUGCUAUUCUUUUUCGUUUUCUUUUUCUUGUAAGGUUUGAAUCUCCUUUUGAAUAAUUCCAAAAAAAAAAAAAAAAAAAGUUAAAAGAGCUAAAUGGUUUUAAUGGCAUUUCUCGAAAAAAAUCUUCGAUAUACUGAAAGAGGAUUUUUACUCCUAGUUAAAUCAAAUAAAUGGUAAUCGAAAUAUCUUAUGAGAUUUAAGAAAAUGGAUGGUAUCAUUAGUGAAGACCAUGCUAAAUUGUCCUUCGCAAACAUCCAUGAUGCUGGCGUGCUAACAGAACAAGCAAAUGAAGGUGGUAAAAAAAUUUGGGGCAGGCAAAUAGUUGAGUGAUAAGUACUGCAGUAACUUUGUUCCUUGAGCGGGAAAAAAAAAAAGGUUAUACCUUUAGUGUGGUGUGGGAAAUAUAAAAGAAUAUUGACUUUGGAACAUAUUAAUUAGAGCUAGAUAGGGAUUCAAUUCCUAUUUGUCAAAAAAUUCAGCGACUUGUGUGGUCGGAUGAAAGACUCACUUUCAAUCUCAUAUAAGUCGUCCUCCUAUAACAUAAUAUGAGUAGGGUAAAUUGAUGAUGUCAGAUUAAAAAAAAUUAAUAUUUUUUUCUGACAAUUUACAAGCGUGUAAACGUGUGUAAGGAUGGCAAUGGAGGUGGGUGCUCACGGACACCCACACCGCGGGGAUAGAAAUGGGGUGGGGGCAAAAUAUUUUUCCCCCGCCUUAAAACGGGGCGGGGGGCGGGGAAACAUACACCCGCCCCAUCCCCCACCUCGUCCCCCGCAUAUAAUAAUAAUAAUAUAUAUAUAUAUAUAUAUAUAUAUCCUAAAUUUUCCAAAGUUGUACCCUUACUUACAAGUACAACGUUAGUCAGUGUCAACGGCCGCCGCAACAACUGAAGAAAUUUUUUGGACUAUUGUUGAUUUGUUUCUAACGCCCCCCUCCCCCAAAGACUAAGCUAUCCAAUUCUAACAUGUUUUGGUCCUAACCCUUUUUUAUUUCGCUCGGUUUCCUUCCUCCGCACUAAAUGUAACUUGAUUUGUUAUACUUUAUUUCCAUCUUGACAACUUUUUAAUUUUAUUUAAUAUUGUUUACAAUUGUAUUAUUGUAAAUAAACAAUUAUGAUAAGUUGAUUUCUUCCUCCGCAGGGAACCGUGGAGGAAAUGGGACAGGGGUAGGGCGGGGGAUGGGGUGGGGGACGAGGGACGGGGGGUGGGGGAAGGAUCCCCCGCCCCAUUGCCAUCCCUAAACGUGUGCGUAGGAGAUAAGAAGAUGAGAAAUGAGAAUUCUGAUCAGCUAGUCAUUCAGAGAAGCAAGAAUAAGGAAAAUUAGUAAUCAAUUUAGUCCUAUUCAACAAGAGGCCAUUUCUUUGCGUAAUUGGUUAGAGCAUCUUUGCAGGGCCAUUUCUACUCCUGGCCCAAGAAACUACAAAGUCGUUUACUUGUUUUUAAUCAUCUCGACCGAGUUUGGACUUAGCCACUCUGGGCUACCAAUGAUAAUUUCAUGCAAACUUCCACUGAACAUCCUCAACAAUUAGGAGUUAAUUAGAAGAUGCCAUCCCAUUCUUAUUCUUGAAUAUGGCAAGUGAAAAGUUUUUAAUUUCAGUCUUUGCUAUUUUGGUGUCACUUGCGUGAUAUUAGUAAAAAGAAAAAAUUGUGGGAUUAUAAAUAAAAAAAAAGCAGCCACAGAAAUUGAGAAUGCAAAUUCUGUCUAGCUAAAUGAAACCUAAAUUGAUGAUCAAAAUUGUAAUCAAGGGAUAAAAGCUAUGAUAGCAGUAAUUUUAAUUGGAAAGUAGCAUAAAAACAGCAAGAACUUGUUACUGUACUUUUUCUUUAGUACAGUAAGUCAGUCAGUAGUAUAAAGUUACCAUAUGCACGACUCCUUAAUUUACAGACAUUUUGCCAUAAGUUCAUAACUUUUGGAACACAUUAGUCUUGCAGUAACAUUGGUGCUUUGAUUGUUCCCUUACAUACUCUUAACUAACAAGAAAAGGGAAGGGAUGUAUUGGGUGUACGAAGAAAGAGAAGGGAGUGUAAGUGAGAAGUGUCUCGGAUUCGAAAUCUCUUACUUAGGUUAAAAAGAAGGUUAAAAAGAAUGUUAAAAAAGAUUAAAAAGCAAAAGAAAUGACAAGUGUUAGAUAUGUUGGGAAGUGUUAAAAAAUUCAUGAAGUACAUAUCCUUUCUACCUGGCAAAUUUUGGUUUUGCUUUUUGAUCAGAUAAUGACAGUCAUGGCACUGACUUUGAAAAAAAAUCUAAAUUAAUCUUUGGCUAUCCUAUCUUCAAACAAGACUCCAGCCUAGCGCUAAAGACUAGAUCAAAGGGA